UGGGUGUUAAUAAAACAUAUUUCUUUAAAUUAUACGAAUAUGUUUGUGAUGGAAAGGAACAUAAAAUGAUAAUAAUAGUUGAGAGAGAGAGUUGAACCAGCUUUGUAGGAAGAUUUUGUCUUGGCAUAAGGCCAUCAUGGGCCCCAACGAAACUCCAUCAGAAUUGGGAACAAAGAAUGCGGCGACGGGUGUGAGGCUGUAGAGCCGGUGAAAGGUGGGAGGAACGCGGUGGUCGGAAAUGAGGGAAGAGUGAAGAAUGGAGUAAGAAGAAAGAAGUGCGAGGAGACGAUCUAGCAUUGAGGCUGCUUCUGGGUUACUGCAACUAAUCUUUGAUGCUAUUUCCUUAGCAGACAGCUUAGCACCUUCUCCCGCUUCUUUCAGCACCUCAAACACUCCCAGCUCCGUCGCCGAUUGCACUGCCAUCGGAAGGGCCACCGAACCUACAAUCUCCAUGGCAUGCGAGAAGCUUUGUGCAUCUUGUAUCUCUUCUUCCUUCCUCUUUUCUUCACCAUUCAGGCUUGCCAUCUCCACUUCAACACCUGCAGACAAGAAAGAGAAGAAGUGAAGGGGAAGAAUAAAGAAGAGGCCUAUAUAAAGGAGAAAAAAAAAACUUAUCCUUAACAGUGAUGAAUAUGUAAAAUAAGACGCUACGUAAAACCCUACUUUUUCACCAUUAAACCAUGCAAUGAAAAUGCUUUAUCAUACACACGUCUCAACCCCUACCUUCUUAACCUUCCUCUUUUGACUUCUUUUUGUAAGGUAUUUUUUUACAAGUUAAACAAUUUUCUUGUUAACUAAAGUAAAUAAAAUGUGUAUUGUUUAUAUUAAAAAUAAUUAUGAAUAGUCACUGCAAUAUUUAUUAUUUUAGUUAAACUAUCUAUGGUAACUCUCUUGUAAAACAAACAUGACUUAUGAAUUAUUCAGAAGUUUAUAUGAAAAUAAUGGAAUAAAAUUUUGAGAAGGAAGACCAUCAUGAUUCAUACAAUUAACUACUGUCUGAAAAUAAUUUUUAAAUAUGUUUUUUAAUUGAACCCGAAAAAUUAUCAUAAGUUUUUGUGAUGUCAUAAAAGUAUAAAAAAUGGAAUAUCUUUUUAAUCUAAUGUAAAAAUAAGGAAGAAUGUUAAUUAUAAUAUUGGAAAUGAUUUUUAAUAUUUUUUCUGUAAUUGACUAGAUUUUGUAUAAAUUGUCAAAAUACUCCUAAUUAACCAAUUUAAGAAGUCUAAAAUUGAUUUUUAGUGAGAAUAAUUUUUAACCAUUAAGAAUAUUAAUUUGAUGAUAAAAUUUGAAAUGUGUUCCAUAAAUAAUAAAUAAUUUUCAAGAUUUUUUUGAAAAUAUAUGAAGUACAUAUUGCACUAAAUUGUAGAAUAUUAAAGGCUAACAAAUUAAGUUCAGCAAAUAUUUUCUAUUACUAAACUUAUCGAACUCUCUCUAGAUUUUUAGAUGUGAUUCUUGUUAAAUAUUUUGAAAAUUAAAGAUAUUUCUAUCUCUAAAAGUUGAAGUGCAAGAUUAUCAUGAAUGAUCAUGAGUACUUUGAUUAUUUUAUACAAAAUUAUAUAAUUAUAGUAAAAAAUAUAUAAUUAUGUAAUAUUGUAGAUCAUAUUAUAAGUGUAAAAUAAAGUUUUAAUCCAUUACUAUAUGUUACUGAAUAAUAUUAUGUUAGUAAGUGAGUUUAAAUCGAAUUCAAGAUUAUAAAAUAAUUGAUUUAUAAAUGAUUUAGUUAUACUUUUAGUUCAUUGUAAAAUAUUUAAUAAAUAUAAAGUCUCUUAAUUAAGAAUGAUCUUUUAUUAUUAAAUAAUCACUUGAUAACUUAACUUUUAAGAGUAAUGUGGUUAUUGAAAAAUUAAAAUUUUGUAAUUAUAGGAACAAAAGUAAAAUAAUGAUAUAAAAUGAUUGUUUAAAUUUAUUAGGAUAUCAAUAUAUUGUUACUUUAAUAAUAAUAAAAUAUAAUCAUUAAUUUGGUUCUAUACUAGUCUUAGUCUUUAUGCUCGUGUUGGUCAUAGUCAACAAUUUUGUCGUAAAUUUCGUUCCAUUAAUAAAAAAAUCUUGAAUAAAAUAAAAUGAAUUAAUUUAAUAAAAAAAAUAGCAAAAUAUAAAAAAGGAUUAAAAUAAAAAUAAGAAAAGGUGUUUAUUUAAUUUAACAAAACUUUAAAACAUAUAAAAAUAUAUUGUAAUUUAUUUUAUUAAAAAUAUAUUAAAAUAUUAAAAAAGUAAAUUGAAAAAAAUGAAAAUAUGUUUUUAUUUAAUUUAAGAAAACUUAUUUAAUUAGUUAUUUUGACGAUUCAAUAAACACGUUUUUUUUUUUUGUUUUAUUGAUGAAUGUUCUUUUUGAAAAUUCUACUAUAUGAAAAUUCAACUAUGAAAAUUCAAGUAUCUUUUUUCUACAAGAGUAUGUUUUUCUAUAAGAGUAUUUUAAGGGUAUAGUUUUGUCAACACAAUCAUUUUUGUUUGUAACAAGUAGAAUCAGUAUUAUAAAUAGUUUUUCUUUUCCAUUAUAAUCAAAGCUUUACCUUUUUCAUAACUUCUGUAAUAAAUUUUCAUUAAAUAGUAACGUAGAGUGCAAAAAUAAAAUUUUAAUUCUGAUUUAGAACAAUAUUAAAAAACCUUAUGAUAUUUGGUACAAUAUUCUGAAUAACAAAAAAUAUUUUAUUUCUUAUAAGCAAAAAUAUAAUUUCCUAUUCUAACAAAUUUAAAAAUUAUUUUAAAUUAAAAUUUUGAAUUUUUAAAAAAUUAGAGAAAUUUGAAUUUGAAAAAAAAGAAAAAGAAUCCAAAUUUUACAAUUUUACCCUUUAAAUAACUACUUUUUUUUAAAUUCAAAUAAUUCUUUCGAAUAAAAAAUAAUCUACACGAUAAAAAAAUUGCAUACAAGAAACUUAAAAAAUUACUUAUUUUUUUAAUAAUUUCUAAUAAAAAUAUUUUUAUAAUAUAUUUUUAUUUCAAUAUAAAGAAAAAAAGUGUAAUUAUUCAUCUUUAAAAAAUAAUUUUGUUUAUUAUAUAAAAUAAAUAAUUGAAUAUUUUUUUAUUUUAAAAUAAUAAAUAACUUCUUUUUUUAAAACUAAUUGAUAUAUAUGGAUGAUAAUUUUUACCUUAUAUAAUUAAUUUUUUAAAUGAAGAAUAAAAUAUAUUCUAAAUUCAUGUUUUUCUAUAUAUAGUAAGAUUCUAAAUUAUAUUUUAUAAUAAAAUGUAAAAAAAUAAAAAAUACACGUAGGUCUGUGUUUUCGUUAAUUAGUAAUAAUAAUAAAAAGGAUAAAAGUAAUAUAUUGAUUUUAAAACAAUAUGCAGAAAGUUUAAUUUUCGGAUUCUGUAUAAAUGGUCAAAAUGUCACCUUUUUUUCAUUAAAAGUGAUGCAUAUAACGAAAAAUUCAUUACUCCAAUCUCUUAUAGUCAAAUUGUUGGAAUGGAGUUCCCAUUUUGUCAUGGUUUGUUAAUGCUUUAUUAAUAUAAUUUUGGCAAAAAAUUGAUGUUUGAUACAAAACUUAAGAAUUAAAAAAAUUAAAAUCUUUUACUAAAUUAAUUUAUACACAAGAUAAUUUUAAUUUUUAAAAGUGCAUUUUUUUAUUCUUUGAAAUAUUUAUAAAAUUUGUCUAAACAUACUAUUUAAUACAUGAAACAAUAAUAUUCAAGCUUUACGAAAAAUAAAUAUUAAAGUAAAUACAAUCAAUCACUAUCAUGGUCAAAAGUCUUCUCACAAUUCAAAUUUAAAUUUGAUUUCUUUAAGCUAACUCCUUUAUGCACUACAAUAAAAUCAUGAAAUAAAAACCAAUUUUUAGAAACCAAAAUAAUUAGUUGCAAUAGUAACUAAAUUAGAGACCAUUUUAGAAACUAAAAAGAAAUUUGGUUUCUAAAUUAGUUUCUAUUAUUUUAUAUUAUUGUUAAAUAGUUUCUAAAUUAGUAUCUAAUUAGCAACCAAGGUUUUUGCUACCAAAUUUAGAAACUAAUAUAAUCACACAAUAUAAUAUAAUCACUAGCGCAUAAAUGCUAAUCAAAUCUUGUAGUUAAGUUUAUAGUUUAUUUUACUGCAACAGCCAGGUUUAUCACCCAAGUUUUUACAGUGUCCAAGGAAGAGUUAACCACUAGACCAGACAAAUCCUUUGAUCAUAUUAUCAUUUUUAUUAUACUUAUUAUUAUUAACAUAAUUUAUACAUAUUAAUAUAAUUAUUAUUAAUAAUAAUAAAAUAAAUUAUAUUCAUAUUAUUAAUAUUAUUAAUAUUAUUAAUAUUAUUCAUAUUAUUAAUAUUUAUUAAUAUUAUUACUAAUAUUAUUAUUAUUAUUAUUAUUAUUAUUAUUAUUAUUAAUAUUAUUAUUAAUAACUAGUGGGAACACGAGCACUCAUGUGCCUGUAUCCGCAUUUUUCAUUUUUACUAUUUAUAUAUUCAUAUAAUUUUAAUAAAUAUUAAAUUAUAUGAGAAGAUAUGUAAAUUAUCUAAAUGCAUCAUUGAUAAUAGUUUUAUUAAGAAUUUAUGUUAAUUUUUUUUUAUAUUUUCAUUUUAUUAUUUUUGAAUAUUAAAUUUUGAUUAAACUUGGGUGUAAUCUUGAACUUUGUAAGGUUAUCAAGGUUAAAAUUAAGGUUUAAAAAAAAUGGACCAGCAAACAAUGUCAAAACAUAAUGCAAAUGGUUGUAUGUUGGAAGUUGCGGAAUCUAUCACCAUAUCAAUUGAAUCCACAUCUUCCAUGGCAAAGAAGUUGAAAAAAAUAAAAUAAUAAACUAAAUACAAAUUACCAAACUUCCAACAUAUCUAAUAGAUCAAAGCACAGUAGACAUAAAAACUUUGCCCGCAAAGCUGGGCUUAAAAUUCAUUCAAAAAUAUAUAUAAAAAAAAAUUAAGAAAGCAAUAGAAACAAAAAUGUUCAAAUCAUAUAACAAUAAGACACGUCUCUGCUUCGAACGCUUUGGGAAGUGCGAGAAGGAAGAAACAAUGGUGGUCGUUGUUGUACAGUGGUGAUUGAAGAGGGAAUAAGAUGGGUGAGAGUAGGAGAAGAACAUGGAGCGUGAAGGAAGAGAGUUCAAAAUGUGUCAAAAUUUAUGAGCUUUUUUUUUUCUUUGGAUGCAACGGGUGAAAUUACUCCUUAUAAGAAAGUGGAAGAAAGUGGUAACCGCUCAACUACUCCUUAUAGGGAGUGAAUGUAACUGGUGAAAACUAUUCCUUCGUAAGAAAGUGGAUGUAAAUGGUGACGGUGGAAACUACUGAAGAAAGUGGUAACCGCUCAGUAAUAAUCAAAUUGUUCACGUUUGGCCACUACUCACAUUUCCUAAUAUUUAUUUCUCUCUCAUGAAACAGACACUCUCUCUCGUUAUGCAAUUAAUUUUCAAAAUAAAUUAUCUCUUUCAAUUCAAACGGUUGUUCCAUUUAUUUCAAAUAUUUUAUUAAAUUUAUUUCUCUCUCAUACAACAGACACUCUUUCAUUAUGGAAUUAAUUUUCAAAAUAAAUUAUCUCUUUCAAUUCAUAACCACUCCUCCACCUCUCUUUCAAUUCAUAACCGUUCCUCCACCUCUCUUUCAAUUCAUAAAUGUUCCUCCACCUCUCUUUCAAUUCAUAACCGUUCCUCCACCUCUCUUUCAAUUCAUAAAUGUCCACUACGUAUAUUAAAUAUUGUAGAAAAAAUAAGAAAGGGCACAAUGACCAUAAUACAAUAAUAAAAUUAAAAAUUAAUAUAAGGAUAAAAUGGGAAAAAAUUAAGAGCAGUUAAGAGGGAAUAAGAAAUGAUACAAUGACCAUAAUACAAUAAUAAAAUUAAAUAUUAAUAUAAGGAUAAAAUAUGAAAAAAAAUUAAGAGAAGUUAAAAGGGGAAUCCCCUUUAUAUAUACUAGCGGGAACACAGGCGCUCUCGCGCAGGUGUAUCCGCAUUUUUUUAUUUUUGUUUUUAAUGUAUAUCUAUAUUUUAUUUUUAUUAUUAUGUAUCUAAUAUUUUAUUUUUAUAAUUAUUGUAUUUUUUUAUUUUUUCUAUUAAUGUUAUUAUUAUUAUUAUGUAUCAAUAUUUUCUAUUUUUACUGAUUUGACUAUUCAUUAAAUCUAUAAUAGUUUGAUUUUAAUUAGUAUUUCAAACUAAAAGAAACUUAGGUCUUAAUUAAUACAUUGUUUUAGUGAUUAUAGUAAUAUUUAACCUUUUAAAUCAAAUAUAUAGACGAUCAUAUAUAUACUCAUUUUGUUUUAACAUAGAUUGUGAAAAUUAUGUCAUAAAAAUAUUUUUUUAAAUGCAUAUUGAUUGAAUAUUAUUAAAACUCAUUAAAUUUAGUAAAAUUAUGUUUAUUAUGGUUUACGAAAUAAUUUUAAAAGACCUCCUAUUAAAUUAUGUUCCACAACAUAAAAAAAAAUCAGAUAUUCAUAAAUAAAAAUAUAAAGUUAUCACUUUCCAUUUUUUUAUAAACUAAAAUAAGAUAAUGCAUAAAAUAAAAAAAAUAUAAACCAAAAUAAGAUAAUGCAUAAAAUAAAAAAUUGAAACAUUUUACAUACUAAUUUGACUGUUCAAAUUUGAAGUAGAGUAAUGAUGAAAAAACAUUAUUCUAUAAUUGCGAAGGUGAAAUUAGAGUAUGAGAAGUUAUCACUUUCCAUUUUUUUUUAUAAUUUAAUAUAAAGCAAAGCAAAAAAGUUAAAAUUGUUUGAAUUAUAAUGUAGUGCAAUAUUGAGAAAAUAUAGGUCCUAUGUUUUUUAGUCUUGAGUAUAGGCUAGACCCUCAUUAGACACAACAAAACCUUCAUAAUCAUUAGACAACAAAACCUGCAUAGUUUCUUGAAAACAAAUAAACCUUGGAGAGAUGCUCCUAGAACACCAUUGUCGAGAUUUUCCCAAUCACGGAUCCAAAGCCACUGCAAAAAAAAAACUCCAAAAACUCACAAACAAUCCAUGAAAAGUGCAAGAUUAAUCAAAGAAAUGAAAGUAUGAUUUUACAUGAAAGUGAAAAGGAAAGAGAAAAGAAAAGUGAGAAGUAUGGUAAAAAAAAGAAUGUGUUAUGUGUAGUGGAGAGAGAAAGUGGGAAGUAGGUACCUAUAUAGGAGAGAGAAAGUGGAAAGUAGGAUACGUGAGUUAUGUGUAAUCGAGAAUAUCAGUUUAAAUAAAAAAAAAAGUAACGUACUAAAUCUCCACUCUCCUACUAAAGUGGUCCACAAAAUAUUACAAAUAUCUUUAAUUUUUUAUUUAAUAAAAAAAAAAUCUUUAAAACAGAAAAGUAACUAAUCACUCUCUCCACUCUCCCCACCCUCUCCACUCUCUCCACUCUCCCCACCCUCUCCACUCUCUCCACAAUUAAAUAAUAACAAAUAAAAUAAAUUUUAAAAUUAUUUUAUUAAUUUUUGAAAUUAUAAAAUGUCCAAAUAACCAAAAUAAAUUAAUACAAUAAAUUAUUAAGUAAGGAUAAAAUAGAAAAAAGAAUUAAGAGCAAUUAAGAGGUGAAUAAGAAAUGACAAAAUGACCAUAAUACAAUAAUAAAAAUAAAUAUUAAUAUAAGGAUAAAAUAGGAAAAAAAUUUAGAGCAGUUAAGAGGGGAAUCCCCUUUAUAUAAUAUAUAUAUAUAUAUAGGUAUAGAUGUAUAGAUAUUAUUAUUAACAUUAUUAUUAUAUUCAUAUUAUUAAUAUUAAUAUUGUUAAUAAUAAUAAGUAUAAUAAAAAUCAUAAUCAUACUAAAGCAUUUGCUUGGUGUAGUGGUUAAAUUUUCUUUAAGUUAUUAUUCACGUGAAAAUCAAUUUUAGAUUUAACUCAAAUUCAUAAUAUUUCUCUUAUAAGUUUCAUAACACUUUGCGGUUAUACUUAUAUAAUUAAAAUGUAAGUUAAAUAAAGUUUUCAUUUACUUCUAUGAUUAAAAUGUUUUAUUUUUAAUUGUUGAGUAAUAUUCAACAAAGAACAGAUAGAUAUCAACAUUUGUUUUAGAAUUUAGGGUGAAAAUAAACCAUUCUAGUUGACUCAACUUCUGUAAUUAUUCAUAAUACACUUAUUCACGUGUUUAGUUGACAUUUCUCCAAUAUUUAUAGUUAAAAUGCAUGUGCAUGGCUAUAUUAUUUCCAGAUCCGAUCGGAAGCUAGCGUAAAUAAAGAGCUAGCACUAAUAUUUGAAGGUAUAUAAUAUAAAUAACAUUUUUUGUUAAACAUUGAUUAGAUGAUAUGAUUGGCAAAUUAAAACACUUGUAAAUUACGGUUUUCAUGGAAAACUCAAUUUCUUUAUAGCACUUAAGAAUAACGAAGUUAAUAAUAGAUGAGACAUUAAAGAGAGGAUAAGCAGAUGAGAGAUAAAAGAGAAUCUAUACGUAACAAUAAAUUAAUACAUAAAGAAUUAAUUAAUAUUAAAAUUGGUGACUUAUCAUCAUAUUUUUUUUUUCUUUUGACUAAGUUGAUGUAUUUUUUUUAUAAUUUUUAUUUUUAUUUAAGUUUGUUUAUUUUAGAUUUAUUGAAUCUGUUUUUUAUUUUGAAAUAGUGAAAUUUUGAAUAAGUCUAUGUAGAAAUAUAUAUAUAAUAGGAUCUAAUUUUUUGAUGUAGUAUAUUGAGUAGAUUUUUUUUUUAUAAGUGUUGGAGUAUUCCUUUGUAUUUCUAUUUUUUUUAUUUGCUAAAGAAAAUGGUUAAGAGAAAAUAUUAAGUGUUGAGGAAAUGGUACUAUUGUAGUUGGAAAUUCCAUUUAUAAAUAACACCUGACUUCUCAUGGAAAUUCCAUUUAUAAAUUCAAGAAUCUUUCUUAUCCUCUCUUAUCCUUUUCUCUCCCAAAAGAUACAUUAACUGUUGUUCCUGAUUCUUUUCUCAUUCAAACAAGUUCUUUCUCCAUUCCAACUUCCAAAACUACUCUAGAUUGACUGUCAUCUCCCCUCCUAGCCAAAUGUAAGCUUCUUUAUUAGAACAAAUGGAAAACAUCAUUGGAAGAUUGACCUUGAGAAACAUAUUUCUCGUCCAUUUGUCCUCCUAUAACCUUAUCUCUCUCUCGUUAUCUACCUCCCAUAAAAUUAUCCUAAAGUUGUCUUUCUAACACUCAAGAAACCAAAUUUCUUUCAAAUUCCACCACAAAAAAAAUAAAAAAUAUGAUCUACAAUUCUUUUACACCCAAAAAUCUCUUCAACCUCCAUACUUAGAAUCCAGUACUUUUUCCCACAAAUCUUUCUUCUCAUCGCCUAAGAGCCAAAUCCACAUUUGAUAAUUUUAAUGUACACAUUUAAAAGGUAAACCAUAUUUAAUAAAAGAUUAUUCAUAACUUUAACAUAAAUCUAAUAUUUCUCUCGUUAUUUUUCUUUUGUGGUAAUUUUAUCAACAAAUAAGUAACAUCACUAUUAAAGGUUAAGUUAAACAUGUGUGUUUUUCUUACGUAAUUUUUUACAUGACUCCAUGUCAUCAUGAAUCAAAUUAAAACUAUUGUUAACUAAAAUAAGAUAAAAGAAAUUGUGUUCACUACCACCACUUAAUUUAAAAAUUAAAAUGAAAUAUUAAGAUAUUAAAAUAAAUUUCAAUUUAUUUCCUUUUCUUGCAUCAAGUUAGCAGCGAUCAACAAAAUUGAAUAAAAAAUAAACUUUUACUUCAUUUCUUUCCUUCCAUUAUUUCUUCUUUUCAUAUUUUCUUAUUAUUUUUAUAUCUUUUUUUCAAAAAAAAUUUCUGUCGUUCAUACUUUUCCAUUAUUUUUUUUUUAAUUUCUCACUUCAUUUUUCAUUUUUUUUCAAAAUCAAAUUUUAUUUUACAAUAAUUGACGUUGACAUGUACAGGAUUAUUUUCACCUUUAUGAUAUUUCAGUUUAGAAUCAUAUUUUCAUCAUAUUUCAGUUUAGAAUAAUUAUUUUCAUCAUAUUUAAUAAAAAAUAAUUUUAAAGAUAAAAAAUAAUAUAAACUAAAAAUUUAUUGAUAUUUAAAAUAAUUUUUAUUAUUAAUAAAAAAUAUAAAAUAAUUUCCAAAUUAAUAUAUAACAUUAACCAUCAAAGUUUUACCUACUAGUCAAUAUAAUAAUUAAUUAUUUUUUUUAAUUAAAGAAAAUAAUCAAAUCAAGUAGUUUAACUUCAAAUUAAAACUUUGUAUUCAUUUAGUUAUAUUAGGUUUCUAGGAUUAAAAAAAUCUUUAAAGAUNNNNNNNNNNNNNNNNNNNNNNNNNNNNNNNNNNNNNNNNNNNNNNNNNNNNNNNNNNNNNNNNNNNNNNNNNNNNNNNNNNNNNNNNNNNNNNNNNNNNNNNNNNNNNNNNNNNNNNNNNNNNNNNNNNNNNNNNNNNNNNNNNNNNNNNNNNNNNNNNNNNNNNNNNNNNNNNNNNNNNNNNNNNNNNNNNNNNNNNNNNNNNNNNNNNNNNNNNNNNNNNNNNNNNNNNNNNNNNNNNNNNNNNNNNNNNNNNNNNNNNNNNNNNNNNNNNNNNNNNNNNNNNNNNNNNNNNNNNNNNNNNNNNNNNNNNNNNNNNNNNNNNNNNNNNNNNNNNNNNNNNNNNNNNNNNNNNNNNNNNNNNNNNNNNNNNNNNNNNNNNNNNNNNNNNNNNNNNNNNNNNNNNNNNNNNNNNNNNNNNNNNNNNNNNNGACUCAGGAGACGUUGAAAGCGCCGAGGGUUAGAGCGCGACCGGCAAAGACCGAUGAGGCGAUGGAAGUCUGCGCUGUUAGGGAGCCCGGCACGUGGAUAACACCGUACCAGUUGUACUUAGAAGAUGGCGUACUCCCACUUGACCCGACAGAGGCAAAAAGAAUAAAGAGGAGUUCGAGUAAGUUUACUUUGAUUGAUGGGAACCUGUUUAGAUUUGGGUUUUCUCAUCCUGUGCAGAUCUGCGUGUAUGGCGAGCAAUGCACUAGACUUAUGUCAGAGCUACACGAUGGGUAAAGUAACAUGAAUAAUAAAGUGUAGCAACAUUAAAGAUCUUGGAAUUGAUUAUGAAUGAGAAAUUUUUUAUAUAGUCUAUUUUAAACUCAUAAUUAUCUAAGUAUAAUGCAUUUCAAAUGACCUAUAAUACCGUGAUCAAUAAGUAGAAUGUGCAUGAAUUGCACUGUUGGUUCAAUAAGAGAUAGAAUUUAAAAAUUAGUAAAAUAAUUUAGUUCAUCAUGUAAGCGAUCAAGAAAAUCAAGGAACUAGAUUUUUUGUGUGUGAAGAAACAUGAUACAAGGAAAAAAAUGUUAAAGAUUAAUCAUGCAUCUAUAAAAAUCUAGAAAAAAUAAUUAAAAGACAAUAAUGAUCAUUUAUGAGAUAAACUGAACAUGUUGGUUUUCAUAGUAAAUGGAUCAAAGGUUGCAUGGAGUCUACCUCUGUGUCUGUGUUGGUUAACGGAAGUCCUACUGAAGAGUUCUACCCUCUGAGAGGGUUGAGGCAGAAGACCUACUAGCUCCGUUCCUUUUUCUAGUUGUAGCUGAAUGUUUGACUGGGUUAGUUAGGAAAGCUAUUAAGUCCAACAUGCUUACUAGGGUGAAGGUGGGGAGGAACGAGGUUGAAUCUUGUGUGCUUCAGUUUAUUGAUGACACUAUUUUCAUGUGAGAAAGACUCUUACUCUAAUGUGUUCACUCUGAAAGAAAUUCUAAGGUGUUAUGAGUUGACUUCUAGGUUAAAAAUUAAUUUUCAUAAAUCAAUGUUGGUAGGUAUUAAUUUGGUUAGGAGUAACCUUGAUUGCUAUGCAAGAUGUCUUAACUGUACUCUUAUGUGGACACAGUUUAAAUACCUGGGUCUUGAAGUUGGUGUUAAUAUGAGAAAAAAGGAGUCUUGGGAGCCAGUUUUGAAUAAAAUUAGUACGCGGCUUAGUGUUUGGAAGGGUAGAUUCUUAUCUUUGUCAGGGAGAAUUUGCUUAAUUAAGUUGGUGCUCACAACCUUACCUCUCUUUCAUCUCUCUUUCUAUAAAGCGUCAGAGUCCGUAUAUAGUAGAAUCAUAAGUAUUCAAAGGAAGUUUCUUUGGGGUUGGGGAAAGGAUAAUAGAGUUAUCUCUUGGGUCAGUUCGGAAAACGUAUGCAAACCUAUGAAGUAAGGUGGAUUGGGGUCAGAGACAUUAGAAAGUUCAAUGAAGCUCUUUUGGCCAAAUGGAAAUGGUGUUUGGUGAGUGAAGAACGAGGAAAGUGAAAGGAUAUUUUAAUUUCUAAAUAUGGAGUUGAAUCAAGUCAACGUCACUAACCCAAGAAGUACCAGUCUUGGUGGUGGAGGGAUUUGUCUAAAGUUUGUGGCGAGGAUAAUGUAGAAGGGUGGUUUAAAGAAGCUCUGGUCUGGAAAGUGGGCUUUGGGGAUAAAGUCAGAUUCUAUUAGGAUGUCUGGGCAGGUGAUAAUAAGCUUAUCUCGUUGUAUUCGAGGUUGCAUUCUAUAUCUUUGAACAAAAGGCUGACAGUGGGUGAGGUUGGAGGGUGGGAAAACUCAAUUUGAAAAUGGUGGCUUAGAUGGAGGAGAACUAAAUUCGAGUGAGAAUCCUUACAAAGAAGAAGAAAUGAUAAGGCUUAUCUUCACAGAUUUUCUGAACAUGGAGGCACAAGACUGUCAAUUGUGGGGAGGUAACAUCACAAACGUGUAUGGUGCCUAUGCUUUAGAUGAAUAGAUAUUUUGUUCGUCCAAUAUAAGGACCUGAGAUUCCAUUUCAAGAACUUAUAUUUAGUGCAUUUGAGCUCUAAGAAGAAUAAGGUGUGGACAGGAUUGUGGAGUGGCCGUAGUAAGUCCCUGACGCGCGGAAGAAAUCUUCCAAAUAACACAGAUCUUGUCAAUCUAUGAGGAAGCUACAGUAGGGCAGAAGAGAUGUGCUAUGAGGUUCAGUAUGCUGCGGUUUUGAAGCAGUCAUGCUACUAUUAGAAGCAUUCUGUUUAGCACGGAAUCUGUCGGAUGGGAGGACUCUGAACUCAUUAAAAAGCUGGAGGGAAAUAAGAGGUAUUGGUUGUUAUUUGUUAAGCUCUGUUAAGGAUGUUGUUAUGGGAAGCUUGCAGAUUACAAUCCUCUCUAUAUGGACGACAAGAAGUUGUGCAACCUCUUGUUGUAGAAGGUGCAGAAGUAUGUGGGAUUAUGGAGGGCCAGGUGUUGCUGGUGUUUUUUGGAAGAUGAAGGAGGGCUAAUAUAUGUGGCCUUAUACCUAGUAUCCAUAUUAGUUCUGUUUUUUGUUUAGCAGUUCUAUACUCAUAUUUUGUUAGACAAAGUUGGAAAGGUUUAAAGAAGUGUAGGGGAAUAAACUUUGACAAGGGAAGAACUUUUUACUGGGUCUUCUAUAAAGGUUGGAGUAUUAAUGAAAUACCUUAUUAUUUUUAUUUAGUCACUAAAAAAAUCAUCAACAAAUGUGUAUGAAUUACACAACAUGUUCAAGAAGAAAGUGAAUUUAAAAAUUAGGAAAGUAACUUAGUUGAUUAUGAAAAUCAUAAAAAAAAACCAGAAUUUUUUAUGUGAAGAAGCAUGAUAUAGGGAAAAGGAUGUUAAAAGGUUAAUAUGCAUCUAUUAAAAUCUAGAAAUAUUAAUUAAGACAAUAAAUAUCCUUUUUUUGAGAAAUAUGAACAUUUUUAGAAGGAUUUCUCAAGACGUUAAAAAAGAAGGAUAUUAUGCAUGUUUCUAAUGAGAUUUAACUAAAGUUUUCAUAAUACACAUUGGAUUGAUUCUGAAUUUACUAGAGAUUAUUUAGUGCAUAAAUCAUAAAUUCAAAAUAAAUAAAAAAAUUCUUCAUGAAAAUAGUGAAAACUCCAGUGGAAACGUUCUAAUCUUAUCUUUGCAUAUUUCAAUUGUUUUAUUUUAUUAAUAUAAAAAGUGAAUAUAACAUGAUAUAUUACACACCAGGAGUUUAUUCUGUUAUUUUAAAAUUAUAAAAAUAAACACAUAAAACACAUAAAGAAGCAAUUAGAAAUAAAGCAGAGGAAGUAGAGGUAAAGAGCAUAAUGGUCUACUUGAAGAACUCCAUAACCCAAAAAUUGUUUACAUGACAUUCAUAUCUGAUGCCACUGAAUCCAGCUGCUCUUGCCAAUUUCAUGAACUCUUCUUCACAUCGUUCUUUACCUCCCUCGUGCUGAGUCAUCAUCAAAACAUCCAGUUGUGAAACCCCCUUAUAAGCAUUACUAGUCUCUGGUGUUUUUGGAAGAACUGCCUCCACAACUAUCACCUUUCCAUCAUCAGGAAUUGCAUCAUAACAAUUCUUCAACAGCUUCACACAAUGUUCAUCACUCCAAUCAUGAACUAUCCACUGCACAGUUUACUUAAUGUCAAAGCUCAUUGAAGAUUGGUAUAAGUUUCAUGCAUCAGUUUCAAUAAAUCAAACUUUCAAUCAACUGCUAUUCAUAUUCAACAUAAGAAACACGUUCGUAGUGGUUAGAAGUUUAAGCUAAAGUAAAAAGGGUGUUUGAUAAAAGGAGAGAUUCCUCUCCUCUUUAAAAUUAAAUACUAUAUAUUUCCCUAGCACCCAUCAUUAUGAAUUGACCAAAAUCCCCUGUAAGACAGCCACACUUACCUUCAUAAAUAUGGCGUCUCCUUUUGGCACAUUUUCAAACAUAUCUCCCCCAACGUGUUCCACUCCUGCAAUAUUAGGUACCUUUUGCUUUUAAAACUCAACAUCAUAUAUUAUUAACAAAGAAAGUAUUGGACUCUAAGCAAGUAAAUAGUACACACUAUUUAUGUUAUUGUCUUGUAAAACUCUAAAUUUACCAAAUAAGUCUUCAAAGGACAAAAAGAACAUUUUUUUUUUAAUUUUGCAGAACCACAGAAUUGGAAUGUGUAAGGAUGAUACCAGGAUAGGAAGGAGCCUCUUGAAUGACAUGAGGCAAGUCGAAAUUGAUGCCAUGAAUAUGAGGGUAUUUAGAAGUGAUCAAGUUAAUGUUGAUUCCAAGACCACCAGCAACAUCUACCAGUGUUUUUAUGCCCUCAAAACCUUUGUAGGAUUCCAGAACCUUCUUCAUAACCAAAGUGGUGUGAUUGAUCAUAGCUGUGUUGAAAACCUUGUUGAAUCUUGAGUCCAAACGUGGAUAGUCAAAAGCAUGAGUGCCAUAAACCCUGUUGAAUGGAACACCCCCCUCCCUAAUUGCAUCUUUCAGCUCACUCCUAUUUUAAAACAUACCAAUAUGUUUGUGAGGGAAAAGGAGAUAAAAUGAUAAUAGUUGAGAGAGAGAGAGAGAGUUGAACCAGCUUUGUAGGAAGAUUUUGUCUUGGAGUAAGGCCAUCACGGGCCCCAAGGAAACUCCAUCAGAAUUGGGAGCAAAGAAUGCGGCGACGGGAGUGAUGGUGUAGAGGCGGUGAAAGGUGGGAGGAAGACGGUGGUCGGAAGUGAGGGAAGAGUUAAGAAUGGAGUGAGAAGAAAGAAGUGCAAGGAGACGAUCUAUCAUUGAGGCUGCUUCUGGGUUACUGCAACCAAUCUUUGAUGCUAUUUCCUUAGCAGACACCUUAGCACCUUCUCCGGCUUCUUUCAGCACCUCAAAGACUCCCAGCUCCGUCGCCGAUUGCACUGCCAUGGAAAGGACCACGGAAGUCGCAAGCUGCAUGGCACGGGAGAAGCUUUCUGCAUCUUCUUCCUUCCUCUUCUCUUCAUCAUUCAGCGUUGAAUCUGGAAGGCUUGCCAUCUCCACUUCAACCUGCAAUCGUUCACCAACUUCUCCACUAUAUAUUAAACCAUCCAUUGAAAACCUUUAUACUUUAUUAUUCUGAGAUACUUAUAAUAAUUUGGGUGUUGAUAUGUCAACACCACAAUAAAAAACCAUUCGUUGACAAAUCAAUAAAAUAAUAUUUUAAUUAUAUUUAAUUUAUUUUAAAUUUUCAAAUAUUAUUAUAAUAUAAUGUUAAGUAUAUGCUUUUUAUUGUGUGUAGGAUAAUAUUUUUUAGUUAUAAGGCAUUAUUUUAAAGAGACAACACUAAUAUUUUGAAGGUAAUAAAUAACAUUUUUUAAUAAACAUUGUUUAUGGUGGUGUGGUGGCUAGCUAAGAACUUUAUUAUGAGUCUAAAUAAUUGAUUAGAUGAUUGGCAAAUUAAUACAAUUGUAAAUGGAAAACCCAAUUUCCUUAUAAAUAACACCUCUGACCUUUGAUGGAGCUUGAGAAGUUUGUUGCAUGGAUUAGGGUUUUUGAUAUAUAAAAGCUUUUCAAUCCUUAUAAAUUAAUAUAAUGAAAUAUGUAGUAGCAGAAAUAGUUGUAGACAAAAUAAUAUUAUCUGAAUGCGGUGUUUUAGCUAGGUAUUCAGUGAAAUCAGACCGCCACAAUUUAAUUCAUUUUGAUGGAAAAUUGUGCGUACAACAGUUUCCAAUGAGAUAGUAUAUCCCUCAAAGAUAGACUCAAAUUGAAGAUCAAGAAUUAUUGAAAAUCAAAAUUAUGAUUUAACUUCAAAAUAUUUAUACUUACUUAAAUAAAUCUUAAUUUAUUUCCUUUUCUUGCAUCAAGUUAGCAUGGAUCAAAAAAAUUGUAUAAAAAAAAUAGACUUUUAGUUCAAUUCUUUCCUUAUCAUUAUUUCUUCUUUUCAUAUAUUUUUCUAAUUAUUAUUCUUUAUUUUUUUUUAAAGUUUCCUCUGCCUCACACUUUUCCAUUCUUUUGUUUAAAAUUUCUUGCUUCAUUUGUAUUUUUUUUUUCAAAACCAAAUUUUAUUGUGUGUGUUCAAGAUCACUUUCAUCUUUAUCAUAUUUUAAUUUAGAAAAUUAUCUUCUUCUUAUUUGAAAAUCUCACAAUUCCUUUUUCUCUGUUGAUAUUUGAUUUUUUUUUUAUCUGUAAUGAAUUAAUUAAAUAAAAAGAAACUCUUUCCAACAUGUAUACAUAGAACUCCUAAUAAAACUACCUACAAUACAUGCAUGCUAACUAAGAGACACACCACUUAGUUCCAAAAGAGCUAUGUAAUUACAACCCCAAAACCUGCUUCAAACCAACAAACAAAACCUGUUAGUACAUAUAGGCAUAGCUUGCUACCAGCCCACCAAGCAAGCCACUAACACUCUAACCAGAAAGCAAAACAACAACAUCUCAGACACCUUCCUCGGUAAGCAGAAACCAGAUGAGAAAGCAGUUGCUACUCCAUGAUCUCUUCUCCCUUACAUUCUAUACAAUAUGGCAUAUCUGCACCUUUGUAACCAGCUUCUACCAGGAAACCCUUAGUAGAAAAACAUCAACAAGAUAAAGCUACACUUUUAUAGAAUCUACAUAACACAUUAAACAGAGGAAAAACAUGUGUGCUUGGCUGUGAUUGACCACCAGCUCACUGCUGCAUGACCUGAAAAAAAGCAAUAGACUAUACCAGAACCUAUACCUGUUCAAUUCACUCUGCACCGAAAAACAAGAAACAACUCUUUUGGUCGUUAGACUUGCUCUCCACUCAUGGCAGACAACUAUACCAAACACCACCGCAUGCAGCAUCAAGCUUUAAAUUACUGCAUCAGAGUAAUAAAAUCUAUCCUCCAGAAAGCACUAAUCCGAACCAUUUCCUGUCUAUACCUUCCUUGACCUGCAGAAACCUGUAUGGUCAGGACUACACCACACAACACCCAGCACAAGAACCACCCUCUUAGCACUCUGCUACCAACCCCUGCAGCACUAGAGCCUGCACCACGGCAGUGGGUCUUGGACCCUCUUUUCUAGACACAACUCCUCUAAAAUAAAAUCCAAAGAAACACUUUCUACCCUGCUUAAGCUCACACCCAGUUACUUAAAGCUUUUAACGCAUAUAGACGGAUUAAGUACCCAAUCCACAAAGAGUAGUUGAAGGUAUAUGUCCUAUGCUUCAUCCAUAACCACGACUUGAGCUGAGUCAUAUGAAAAACCUCUUCAACAUUUACAACUCCCUCCUUAAAAAGAAUAGAGUUUCUCUAGUUAAUUACAAGAUUAUGCAGAUAUAUUUUCCAGAUGCACACACACUGAUAUUAGAUUGAAAAACAGUGAAACACAAAAACAGCAAACCUUAAUUCCAAAUAAUGUGAUUUAGGUUCAGUUAAGGGCUUGACAAUUAGUGAGGCAAUCUAUCACACUCAACUUGUUUUACUAGCCUUUAACAGAUUAUCAGUGUUCUUAUUGAAACCAGACAGUUUUCCAGAAAUUAAGAACAGUAUGCACAGCGCCCAGAAAGAACACAUUUAUUUUCAAUUGAACAGAUUUAUUUCUUUGCUGUUUUAUCAAUUAUGCAGAAACGAAAUUGCAGAGAGUGAGAGAGAAUGAACACAAGCAGUUAUACUGGUUCACUCAACUGAGCUACAUCCAGUCUUCACCAAAACCAGGUGGAAAUCACUAAAACACAGUACAACCAAGUACAAUUCCCACUGUUCUUGAAACCUACAAGAACUUAGGUACUCUUGCUGAAAAAACCUAUUUCAGCUCACACACACUCUCCAAGAAAACCUAUCAAGAAGAGUGUUCAACCAAACNNNNNNNNNNNNNNNNNNNNNNNNNNNNNNNNNNNNNNNNNNNNNNNNNNNNNNNNNNNNNNNNNNNNNNNNNNNNNNNNNNNNNNNNNNNNNNNNNNNNNNNNNNNNNNNNNNNNNNNNNNNNNNNNNNNNNNNNNNNNNNNNNNNNNNNNNNNNNNNNNNNNNNNNNNNNNNNNNNNNNNNNNNNNNNNNNNNNNNNNNNNNNNNNNNNNNNNNNNNNNNNNNNNNNNNNNNNNNNNNNNNNNNNNNNNNNNNNNNNNNNNNNNNNNNNNNNNNNNNNNNNNNNNNNNNNNNNNNNNNNNNNNNNNNNNNNNNNNNNNNNNNNNNNNNNNNNNNNNNNNNNNNNNNNNNNNNNNNNNNNNNNNNNNNNNNNNNNNNNNNNNNNNNNNNNNNNNNNNNNNNNNNNNNNNNNNNNNNNNNNNNNNNNNNNNNNNNNNNNNNCUUUAGAAAAGAACAGAUUUAUUUUUAUGCAGUAAACGUGUUUUUUUGAAAAAUAGUUUAAGAAAACUUAUGCUUGUUCUUAUCACAUGGCCAGUGGUUAUGAGGUGAGUUACUCAGCAAAAAGCCCUCUUAAACAACCUCUAAGCACUGCCUAAGACACACUUAAAGCAAAACAAAAAUACACAUGAAAUGUACAUAAAAGUCUUCAUCAAACACAAUCUUGAAGGGGCAGCAACCAUCUUCAACAAUCUCCCCCUGUUUGAUGGAGACAAAUCCCCAUAGCUAACCUCAUAGCUUUGUUGCUUUAAGAACCUGCACUGCACCAGAUUUUAAACCAGAAAAAAACAGCAGUAUUGCAUAACAUGAGAAAUGGUUUUAAGGUGCAGAAUUAACUCCCUGUUUCAGCUAGCUUCACCUAGCAUGGUGAGCUAUUUUUCAGCAGCUAUUUUUCUCCCCCUUUGGAUUCAUCAAACAGCAUAUAAGCAUAGGGAAAACAAAAAUGAAACAAAAACCAUAACCAUAAUAGUUCAGAAAAUAAAACCAUAUUGUUCAGCAUUACAGACAUUUGAAAACUGAUAAAGAAAGCAUUAAAAACAGAAGACUACUGGUCUGACACAAAUAGAUGUUGACAUGAUCCCUCCUUGGUCUGACACAAAACACUUUAGUUAGUUGAUAAAAAUAAUCAUAUCCAAUAGUUCAACUUCAAAUUAAAAUUUUGUAUCUAUUUGAUUAUAUUGGUUUAGGUCUCAAGGAUUUGAAGAAUUUUUAACUUUUUUUUAACUAUUACUUGGAUAAAAAGUAACUUUCAAUAGUUUGAUUAUUGAAGUUGGUAGUCUGUGUACUGAAAUUAAAUAGAUAAAUGUAGAUGUGUAGAAGGACUCUUGAAAUUGAUGAUGAUAUGUAAUGUAACACUACCAGAAAAUCAUGAAAUAGUAACCAAUUUUAGAAAAAAAAAAAUAAUUAGUUGUUAUAGUGACUAAAUUAGAGACCAUUUUAGAAACUAAAAAAAACUUUUGCCUUCUAAAUUAGUUUCUAUUAUGGUUAUAUAGUUUAUAAAUUGGUAUUUAAUUAGCUACCAAAGUUUUUGGUAUCAAAUUAGAUUCUAAAUAAUUAGUAGUUAAAACCUUGGUAGCUAAUUAAAUACCAAUUUAAAAACUAUUUAACAAUAAUAAAAACUAAUUUAGAAACGAAUUUUUUUUAGUCUCUAAAAUGGUCUCUAAUUUAGUCAUUAUAACAACUAAUUAUUUAUUGUUUCUAAAAUUGGUUUCUAUUUCAAGAUUUUCUUGUAGUGUAAGGUUCAAAUUGAGUAUUAUUAUUAGUAACGCUAUAAGAAAAUAAUUAAAUAUCAAUUAAUUUAGAUAAAAAAAUUAAUUAUUAUAUUGAUUAAUCUAUAAAUUAAAAAAUUAUUAAUAUUUACAUUAGUUUCUAUUAGUAAUAAAAGUUUAUAAAAUAGUUUUUAAAUUAUUUAACCUUAACUAUCAAGGUUUUAGUACUAAUUACUUAAAAUUAUAAAUUAGUCAUUCAUUUAAUUAAAGACUAUUUUAUAAUCUAAAGUAGUUAAUAACUAAAAUCUUGGUAGCUAAUAUUAUAUAUCAAUUUGAAAAUUAUAAAUUUUUAUUGAUAAUAGAAACUAAUUACUAAUAAUUUUUUAGUUUAUAAAAUAAUAUCUAAGUUAAUAAUAUAAUGACUAAUUGUUUUUUAUCUCUAAAUUAGUUCUUAUUUAAUGAUUUUUUUAUAGUGUAAAAUAUUCUUUAACUAAGUCCAAAACUAUGUUUAACCCUAGUUAGGACUAUGAAAUUUAUUAGAAUUGAUUUUCGAUUGGUUUUUAACUUUAUGCACAAAUUGUUGUUUUCUCCAUAUCUUAUUUGAGUGUUGAGAUUGCUCUAGUGAUGCUCAAGUGAUAACUUUAAUCUUAAGUGCACAACAUCAGUUUGAGUAAGAGAGAGAAAUUAACGAUUCUCUUUUGUCUUGAAAUUUAUCACUCAGAUGAUGAUUGGUCGCUAAAGUGAUGGUCACUUUAGCAAUGGAGUUUUGUAGGUUUGACUAAGUUUUUUAUUUACCUUUUCUUAAAGGGUUUAUCAUUAAAGUGUUGCUUUAAAGUUCAAGCCGUGAUAAAUAUUGAUCAAGCAACAUAUUAUAGCUUGUGUGAGAAAGAUUUGCUUUAAUUUAGAUACUACACAGAGCAUGAGUAAGAAGUUUAAGUGAUAAAAACUCUUUCAAACCACAUUACACAACUAACUUCAGUGAAGAAACUCUGGUGACAUAUUUUCAUGUGUUUUUUUAUUAGUUAGUUAAGCAUCUAUCUUCACUUAAAUGAUGUUGCAUUGGUUUAGACAAUUAUUGAAAUUGUUAUUAAUAAAAUACCAAUACAAGAAAAUUUGUUAUUUCAUACUGGAUUUGGAUUCAUAUAUAAAUUUGCACCUACCUUCAAAUUUUACCAACAAAUUAUUACUCCAGAUAAAAUUGAGUUACUUUGUUAAUGAAAAUGCCGUUAUUAGUUUUAUAGUUCAACCAAUAUUUAAACUGUCACUAUUAGUGUUUUAAUGACAAUAUAACAAAAAAUUAUCAUCCUAAAUGGACUCAAUAAUGAUGAAUAAUAAAGCAAAAUCUGUCAAAAAAAUAAAAAAUAAAAUUUUGAUGGAACACUAAUAAGUACGUUGACGACCAUAAAGUUCGAGAGUCAAAUACUAUGCAUAAACAAAUUGUAGCAAGACUUAAGAUUUUGGGAUCGACUAUAAAUGAAAAAAAUCUUUAUAAAAUUUAUUUUAAACUCAUCAUUAUCUGAGUAUAGCUCAUUUUAAAUGACCAAUAAUACCAUAGCACAACAAGUUGGUUCAAGAAACACUAGUACAAAAUAUGAAAAUAAUGACCAUUUAUUUAGUGCGGCUUUGCGCUUAAACGCAUUUGCAAAAAACGCGGUGACAUUUUUGAAAUUAAAUUGUUUUACAAAUGCGGUUCUAGAGUAAGACCGCAUUUGUAAAUCAAUUCAAAUUAUUUACAAAUGCGGUCUUUACUAUGACCGCAUUUGUAAUUAAUUUCACAUUGAUUUACAAAUGCGAUCUUACUCUAGAACCACAUUUGUAAAACAAUUUUACCGUACAUUGAUUUAUUGAUCUGUGUACUUGGUAGUUUGAGUACUGAAAUUAGAUGGAUUCUUGAAAUUGAUGAUGGUAUGUAAAGUAAGGUUCAAAUUGAGUAUUAUUAUUAAUAAUGUUAUAAGAAAAUAAUUAAAUAGUUAUUAAUUUGGAUAAAAAUAAUUAUUAUUAUAUUGAUUAACUUGAUACUAUUUUAUAAAAUAAAAAGUUAUUGGCUACAUAAGUUUUUAUUAGUAAUAAAAGUUUAUAAAAUAGUUUUAAAUUGAUAUUUAAUAUUAACUAUAAAUAGUUUAUAAAGGUUUUAAUAAUAAUUACUUUACAUUAUAAAUUAGUCACUUAUUUAAUUAAUUAAAGACUCUAAAAUAGUUAGUAACUAAAAUCUUGGUAGCUAAUAUUAUAUAUCAAUUUGAAAAAUAUUUUAUAAAUUUUUAUUAAUAAUAGAAACUAUUUACUAAUAAUUUUUUAGUUUAUAAAAUAGUAUCUAACUUAAUAAUAUAAUGACUAAUUAUUUUUUAUCUUUAAAUUAGUUGUUAUUUAAUUAUUUUUUUGUAGUGUAAAAUAUUAUUUAACUUAGUCUAAAACUAUGUUUAACCCUUGUUAGGACUAUGAAAUUUAUUAGAAUUGGUUUUCGAUGAGUUUUGAGCUUUAUGUAGAAAUUGUUGUUUUCUCCAUAUCUUAUUUGAGUCUUGAGAUUUUUCGACUCACACGAUAACUAUAAUAUUAAGUGCACAAUAUCAUUACUUGAGUAAGAGAGAAGAAAUAACAAUUCUCUUUUUCUCUUGAAAUUUAUCGCUCAAAUGAUGAUUGGUCGCUAAAGUGAUGAUCACUUUAGCAAUGGAGUUUUGGAGGUUUGACUAAGUUUUCAUUUACCUUUUUCUUAAGUUAGAGAAGGGUGUAUCAUUAAAGUGUUGUUUUAAAAUUCAAGUAAUGAGAAAUAUUGAUCAAGCAACAUAUUGUAGCUUGAGUGAGAAAGAUCUUGAUAAAUAAUUUUGCUUUAAUUUAGAUAGUACACAAAGCAUGGGUUAGACGCUUAAGUGAUAAAAACUCUUUCAAACCACAUUACACAACUUGAGUAGUGGUUCACAUUUAUUUUAUUUAUUUUUUAUUGUUGAUAAAAAAAAAUACAACUUGAGUGAAGAAACUUUGGUGACAUAUUUUCAUGUGUUUUUUUAUUAGUUACUUAGGCAACCUAUCUUCACUUAAGUUGAUUGAUUUAUACUGGAUUUGGAUUCAUAUAUAAAUUUUCACCUACCUUCAAAUUUUACCUACGAAUUAUUAUUACAGGUAAAAUUGAGUUACCUUGUCAAUGAAAAUGUCAUUGUAAGUUUUAUAGUUCAAUCAAGACUUAAACCGUCACUAUUAGUGUUUUAAUGACAAUUUAGCACAAAAUUAUCAUCCUAAAUGGACUCAAUAAUGAUGAAUAAUAAAGACAAAUCUGUCAAGAAAAUAAAAAAGAAAAAUUGAUGGAAUGCUAAUAAGUACGUUGACCACCAUAAAGUUUGAGGAGUCAAAUACUACUCAUAAACAAAUUGUAGCAAAACUUAAGAUAUUGGAAUUGACUAUGAAUGAAAAAAUCCUUAUAAAAUUUAUUUUAAACUUAUCAUUAUCUGAGUAUAGCUCAUUUCAAAUAACCUAUAAUACCAUACUAAAAAAUGGAAUGUAUCAAAUUGCACAACAACUUGGUUCAAGAAAGAACAAGGUUUAAAAAUUAGGAAAAGUAACUUAGUUUAUUAUGUAAGUCAUAAAAAAAGUUAAAGAACUAGAAAAAAAUUUAUGAGAAAACAUGAUAUAGGUAUGUUAAAGGUUAAUCAAACAUCUAAAAAUCUAAAAGACAAUAAUCGUCAUUUAUGUGAAAAACUUUCAUAUUUUGAGAAGGAUUACUGAAAACAUAAAGUUUUGGUUCAAAAGAAGGUAAAACUUAAUGUUUACCUAUACUAAUCAAAUUUAACUAAAGGAGGGAUUACUUAGUGUUUAAAUCAUAAGUUUAAAUAAAAUAUUCUUUAUAAAAAAAUAAAGUGAUGAAAACUCUAGUGGAAGCGGUCUGAUCUUAUCUUUUACAUAUUUUAAUUUUUUUAAUUUUAUUUUAUUAAUAUGAAAAGUGAAUAUAACAUAAUAUAUUACACACCAUGAGUUUAUUCUGUUACUUUAAAAUGUAUAAAAACAAACAUGAAACACAUAAACAAGCAAUUAGAAAUAACACUAAGGAAAUUAUCUCAGUUAAAGAAAUUCAUGAAAUAAAAACUAAUUUUAAGAACAAAAAAUAAUUAGUUCGUUAUAGUGAUUAAAUUAGAAACAUUUUAUAAAUUAAAAAAACUUUUGGUUUCUAAACUAGUUCCUAUCAUUAUUAAAUAGUUUUCUCUAAUUAACUACCAAAGUUUAAACUACCAAUUAUUUAGAUUUUAAAAUAUUCUUUAAUUUAGUCACUAUAACUCCCAAUUUUUUUUUUAUGUCUUACAACCAAAGUAUCCUAGGUAUAUGUGUUUGUUGAUUUUUUGGUGAAUUGUAUUUGUAGAGAUAAUGCAUGUAUAAGGGUUGGAACACUCCUAAAAUGUUUCAUUUAUUUUAUUUUAUAUAUUCACUGAUAAAAAAUAUUAAUUAUUUUUUAUCUUUAAAAUUGAUUUUUAUUUCAUAUGAUAAGAGACAGAUUCUUCUACUUGAUGAACUCCAUAACCUCUAAAAUGUUGACGUGACAUUCAUAUCUGAUGCCACUGAAUCCAGCUGCUCUUGCCAAUUCCAUGAACUCUUCUUCACAUCGCUCUUUACCUCCUGGGUUCUGAGUCAUCAUCGCAACAUCCAUUUGUGCAACCCCCUUAUAAGCAUUAUUAGUCUCUGGUAACUUUGGAAGAAUUGACUCCACAACUAUCACCUUUCCAUCAUCAGGAAUUGCAUCAUAGCAAUUCUUCAACAGCUUCACACAAUGUUCAUCACUCCAGUCAUGAAGUAUCCACUGUACAAUUACUUAAUGUCAAACCCCAUUGAAUAUAACUCAUGCAUCAGUUUGAACUAAACUCUUUUUUCAACCAACUAUUAUUCAUAUAUUUCCCUCCUCACUGACACUUUACCUUCAUAAAUAUGGCGUCUCCUUUAGGCACACUUUCAAACAUGUCUCCCUCAACGUGUUCCACUCCUGCAAAAUCUUAUUGUCUUGUAAAAUCUCAAAGUUGACCAAAUAAGUCUUCAAAAGACGAAAAGAACAUAUUUUUUUUUUAAAUUUAGAUUGGAACGUGUAAGGGUGAUACCAGGAUAGGAAGGAGCAUCUCGAAUGACAUGAGGCAAGUCGAAAUUGAUGCCAUGAAUAUCAGGGUAUUUAGAAGUGACCAAGUUAAUGUUGAUUCCAAGACCACCACCAACAUCCACCAGUGUUUUUAUGCCCUCAAAACCUUUGUAGGAUUCCACAACCUUCUUCAUCACCAAAGUGGUGUGAUUGAUCAUUGCUGUGUUGAAAGCCUUAUUGAAUCUUGAGUCCAAACGUGGAUAGUCAAAAGCAUGAGUGCCAUGAACCCUGUUGAAUGGAAUACCCCCCUCCCUAAUUGCAUCUUUCAGCUCACUCCUAAUAAUGUAUAAACAAACUUAUUUCACUUGAGCAAAUGAAGAAACAUUUACUUCCAAUCACAUAAUUUAGCAGAUCGCAUACAAUCAUAAUGCUGAAAUAGCAAACCCUGUUUUGACUCAAUCAUGUGGCUUUAUUCUUUUAUUUUAUCACAACACUUAUCACCCGCAUUAAAUUUGAACUAUUGUAUCCCUUUGAUUAGCAAGAGAGAGAAUGAAAGAUUGCAACAUCAAGGAGUCAAAACUGUGACCAACGACAAACAAAUUGCACACAGACCAUGACAAAGUUUGUAGAGAAUCAUCACUAGUUUUUUUGGUAUAAUUUAAGAGUGAAGUGUUGGAUUUCUUUAAGAUUUUACUUUAGAUCAAUUGAAGGUUUUGAUCCUUUAAAAAAAAUAAUAUAAUAGUUGAAAGAGAGUGAGUUGAACCAGCUUUGUAGGAAGAUUUUGUCUUGGACCAAGGCCAUCGCGGGCCACAACGAAACUCCAUCAGAAUUGGGAACAAAGAAUGCGGCGACGGGAGUCAUGGUGUAGAGCCGGUGAAAGGUGGGAGGAACACGGUGGUCGGAAGCGAGGGAAGAGUUAAGAAUGGAGUGAGAAGAAAGAAGUGCGAGGAGACGAUCUAGCAUUGAGGCUGCUUCUGGGUUACUGCAACUAAUCUUUGAUGCUAUUUCCUUAGCAGAAAGCUUAGCACCUUCUCCCGCUUCUUGCAGCACCUCAAACACUCCCAGCUCCGUCGCCGAUUGCACUGCCAUCGGAAGGACCACCGAACCUACAAUCUCCAUGGCUCGCGAGAAGCUUUCUGCAUCUUCUAUUUCUGAAUCUGGAAGGGUUGCCAUCUCCACUUGAACACCUGCAAAUCACUCACAACUUCCACACCUUAAACUAGUAUAUAUUUACACACUACUCUUCUUCUUUCCCUUACGAAGACAAGAAAGAGAAGAGAAGGGAAGAAAAAAGAAGAGGUCUAUAUAUAAAGGGAAAAAAUCUUAUCCUUAACCUUCCUUUUUCAGUGCUUUUUUUUAAGGUAUUUUUUUACAAAUUAAACAAUUUUCUUCUUUAAUUUUAUAGUUUUGAAUAGGCUGCUAUAUAUUAACACAUUCAACCCUAAAAACACACAUUUCCCGUUAUAAUAAGUUAAUAUUUUAUUUUAUUUUUUAAUUUAAUAAUAUUAUUAUAUUAUUAUAAACAGUGUCAAAUGUAAUUUUUUUUACUGUUUAUGUGUUCAUGCAAUAUUUUUCUCUUUUGAAUAAACAUAUUUCAAUGAUAAUAAAUAAUUUAAAAUUAAUUUCUCUGAAUUUAAAAUAAAUGAUACUUGUUUAGCUAAAGUAAAUAUAAUGUGUAUUUUUUAUAAUAAAAAUAAUUAUGAAUAAUUACUGCAAUAUUUAUUAUUUUAGUGAAACUAUCUAUGGUAACUCUCUUGUAAAACAAACAUGACUUACGAAUCAAUAUUGAUCAUCAUUUUUUAGCCAUGAUUUUUAAGCUACAUUUUUGUGAAAUGACUUUUAAAAAAAAUGCAUCACGGGAAAAGUAGUGUGACCUAAAAUAAUAAAAAUAUGGAAAUUUUUCUAUUUUGAAAAUAGAAGGAAAUUUUUUUAGAAAUGUAACUUACAAAUAUUAUACAUCAUGUGUCAUAAAAGGUGGAUAAUUUAAACCACAGAAUUUUUAAUGUGGCUUAUAAUAAUUAUCAAUAAACAAUAAAAAAAUUGUGAACUAAAAACCUCUAUCUUAUAGUUAAAAUCUUUAAAAUUAAAUCUAUGAUAUUUUUUUUUUUAUGUUUUUAAAUAUUAUACGGAGGUUUUGAAACUUAUGAUAUUGUAUGGAGAUUCUUAAACCCAUUAUAUUUAACCGAGGUUCUAAAAGAUGAAAUUAAAAAAUCCUUAAAGAACAUGUUUUUUUUAUGAAUGGUUUAGCGUGUAACUUUAGAUAAAUAACUUAAUAAAAAAUUUUACCUCGAAUAAUGUAAAAAGAAACCACUUUUUUUCUUAUAGUUUUUAUAUGUGUUUUCAUUAAUGAAUAUAUAUAUUUUCUUUAAUAAUAUAUUGUAAAUUUUUUGUUGAGUUAACUUUACAAUAUGUUAUAUAUAGGUUUCUUUUGAAUUAUUCAGAAGUUUAUAUUGAAAAGAAUGGAAUAAAAAUUUGAGAAGGAAGACCAUCAUGAUUCAUACAAUUAACUACUGUCUGAAAAUAAUUUUUAAAUAUGUUUUUUAAUUGAAACCCGAAAAAUUAUCAUAAGUUUUUGUGAUGUCAUAAAAGUAUAAAAAUGGAAUAUCUUUUCAAUCUAAUGUAAAAAUAAGGCAGAAUGUUAAUUAUAAUAUUGGAAAUGAUUUUUACUAUUUCUUCUGUAAUUGGCUAGAUUUUGUAUAAAUUGUCAAAAUACUCCUAAUUAAUCAAUUUAAGAAGUCUAAAAUUGAUUUUUAGUGAGAAUAUUUUGAUACUUUUUAUCUUUAAAAGUUGAAGUCAAGUUUAUCAGAAUGAUCAUGAGUACUUUGAUUAUUUUAUACAAAAUUAUAUAACUAUAGUAAAAAUUUUAUAAUUAUGUAAUAUUGUAGAUCAUAUUAUAAGUGUAAAAUAAAGUUCUGAAUAUUGUGCUUAUUGUUAUCACUGUAAAGUAAAGUAAUAAACUAAAUUACUGCUGUUCAAUUUGACCGUUCUGAAAAUAAAAUAUAUUACCCUUAUGAUCAAAUUGAUAAUACUGUUAGUGAUGAUUUGCAAAUUUUUAAAAAAAAAUCCUUUAACUCUUAUUUGUAAAGGAAUCCAUCCAUUAUUACCCUGUUAGGGAUAAUACUAUGAGUUAAAUCCACUAAAAAACGAUCAUUUACCUUCCACGGUGAUUUAACUUUCAUAUGUAUGUGUGAGUUCACAUUUAACUUUCAUAUGUAUGUGUGAGUUAAGUGUGAACGUGAUUUUUUUAGACCAAAUCCAUGCAAAAUUGAUGCAAAAGUAUAUUUUUUUGGAAAUCUGACGCAUAAUAGACGUAAAUAUAGAUUUAAAUAAAAAAUGGACUAUAAUUUAUAUUUAUUUAAUGUAUAAUAUGGUAAAAAAUAUUAUAAUUUUUACUUGUUUAUUGUAUUUAUUUUAAUUUUUUUAAUAAUUUUGGUAUAUGUUAGUUAAUAAAUUGAUUACGUGUUUAUUUUUAAAUUAUUUUAAAAAAAUAUCUUAAACAAUUUAAAAAGAAUUGAAAAAUGUUAAAAAAUAAUAAUUGAGUAAAAGAAAAAAUGUAAUUAAAUUUAUAAAUGUUAUACAAAAUACUUAAAUUUUUUAAAAAUUAAUUAUUUUAAUUUAAUUUCAUUUAUAAUAAGUAUUUAGAUAUAAAUUAGUUAAAUUAAAUUUAUUAAAUUGAUUAAUAGUUUAAUUUAAAAUUAUUUAAAGAAUUAUCCUAUAAAGUUUAUAAAGAAUUGAAAGAUGUAGAAAAAUAAUAAUUGGGUAAAAAAAUACAUAUUUAAAUUUUUAAAAUAUUAUGUAUUUAUUUUUUGUUGUAUAAAUUAAAUAUAUGUUUUGUUCUAUAAAUGAAAUUAAGUUUUUUUUUCUAUAAAUUAAAAUAAAUUUUUGUUGUAUAAAUUGAAUUUAAUUGUUUUGUAUAAAUUAAAGAAAGUUUUUCUUAUAAAUUAUAUCAUUUUUUUAUACAUUAAAUUUAUUUAUUUGUUAUAUAAAUUUAAAAUAAAAUAAAUUAAAUUUUUGAAAGUUUGAAUAUAAUUUUUAUUAAAUUAUAUUUAAGCUACAUACUUAUGAAAAUUUUCAAGUGCCUCACAUUAAUAAUAAUAAGUAUAAUAAAAAUCAUAAUAUUACAAAAGAAUUUGUCUGGUUUAGUGGUUAAAGCUUAUUUGGUCACGGAAAAAAAUAAAUAAUCACUUGACAACUUAACUUUUAAGAGUAAUGUGAUUAUUGAAUUUUUUUUUUAAUUAUAAGAAAAAAUGAAAAUAUGUUUUUAUUUAAUUUAACAAAACUUAUUUUCUAAUUAGUUAUUUUGACCAUUCAAUACCCAAGUUUUUUUUGUUUUAUUGAUGAAUGUUCUUUUUGAAAAUUCUACUAUAUCAAAAUUCAAGUCUUUUUUUCUACUAGAGUCACUACAAAAAUUUAUUAUUUUAAUAGAGAUUUAUUCGUGGAGGUUUUUAUAACAUCUGGUAAUGGACACUGUUAGUAGAGGUUUCUUAAAUCCCUGAUAAACAUCAAUAGUUUUUUAAUAAGUCAAAGUAAAAUAUUUCAAUUUUCUUCCUUUCUCCUAGAGAAACAAUGCUCUCUAACGUCAACCCUAGGUUAUUUCUCACAUUUUUUGUUUUCAUUUCCAACUUUCAAAAUCCAACAAGACCCCAUUCUCUUCUUUCACUCUCUAUUUCGUCUUCUAUUUUCAUCCUCAUCUAGCAAUCAUCUCUUUCUCUCGCAUUAUUUUCAUCAUCAUCUUCUAUUUGACUCUGGCUCAGAUUCACUUUUCCAAGCCUUCAGGAAGAGAGUGGCAAUGUUGUAUUCCAGGAAGAGCGAGUCAAUAUAUAACUUCUUCUAUUUCAUCAUUCCAAACUAUGUACACAUACGAAGAAACUAAUUUCAUAUUUUUCUGAUAGAAACUGAUUGAAGGAAGAUUUGGUGAUGUAAUGGAGGAAGUCGUGAGGACUCACCAAGCUAUCAAGUAAGACAGAAAUCUCUCACUUAAUUUUAACCUCUAACUUUGACUUGUCUGUUUACUUAACAUAUGUAAUCUUUAACAAAAAUAUUAACAAGAAAAUACGAUAGAGUAACGUGUAUAGAGUAACGUGUAUAGAGUGAUGCAAUAAUGUAUUAGAGUAUUGUAUCAGUAUUUCCAUUGCAUAUUAGAAUUUAGUUAAUGAAACCCAGUUUUAACAAUGAGAGAUGGAAUUUGUGAAGAAAUGGUGAAUGAGAUUUAUGAAAAAAAAAGGAAGAAAUUGAAAAUGCAUUGAGUUAGUUUGAAUCUGUUUUGAUAUUUGUAUUAAUGUGUGAAAUGAAAGUCUCUAUAUUCUAAUGGAAGAUGAAGAGCUCUUUCUGUGGCAAUCAUGCUCCUAUUCUUCAAUAUCAUAAUCAUUUCCGACAAAGUUAUUAGCUGUAGUGGAAUAGUUUGACUUGCCAAGAUUGAAGCUCAUGUGUGAAUCAAUAUUUUGUAGUGACAUAUCUAUAUAUUUUGUUCCAUAUAUUCUGGUUCUUGCAAAUCGUUAUCGUGCUAAUGAGUUGAAGUCCAUCUGUCAAAAAUUUUGUGUUGAAAACUAUGAUGGUGAGAGUUCCUACUUAACUACUCAAAUUGAGUUUUCAGUUUAGAAUGUUUUAGCCUGAAACAUGGUUUCUGCAUUAGUUGUUAAUGUUUGGAAGUUGAUUCUCAUAUUCUUUCAUCAUUGUCUGUUGCAGCUGUGAAGAAAUCUGGUGGUUUGGAGUAUCUCAGGCAAAGAGGUGAAAGUUCAAAGGUUCACAUUUCUAAUGCUGAUAACAACAACAAUAAUCCAUUAGGCAUUACUUUUAAGAUUUGGAAUGAUCAAGAAAAUUAGUUGAUUAUAAAGACUAUGUACUCUUGAUAAAAAAAAAGAUAAUGUAUUACUUAGAAGGUACCAUGUUUCUUCAUUAUAUUAUUUUGUUGGGUAGUUAGUUGUAUUAAAUAUUAAUUUAUGUUUUCCUAUUUAGCAAAAAUAAAUUGAAUAAACUUGUACUGGAUUUAAUACUUUUACUUUUUGAUGCGAAUUAAAUGAGUUUACAAUGUUUAUGAUAUUCUCAUUAUUAUAACUUUUAUGAAAUAAGUUUAUUAUAUUCUCUAUGAACGUAGAUCCAUGAAGGAACAAGAAAAAAAAUCAUAAUUAGAGGUAGGUACAAAACUUUUGUUCUGCACGGAAACAUUUUCCAAAAAUAUAUGGGAUUAUUAUGAGUCAAGUCUUGCACAAUUAUUUGAGGUUCAGAACAAACUCUACAAUGUAAGACUUGAUUAUUUUCAUUCAAAAAAUUAUCUUGAUGAUGAUAUAUAUAAGUGAUGAAGUACCACAUACUAAUUCAAAUCUAAAACACAAUCACGACCAACUAGAUUUAACUUAUGAUAUAAACAUAUAUAUAUAUAUAUAUAUGCCUCGGUUUCAUCAGUACUUCAUCUCAAAAUAAUAGAUUUUUUAUUAUAAUAUUACUCAUUAUAUGAAUAAUAAUAAUAAAAAGACAAAUUGAAGGGUUAUUUUAUUCAAAAAUUUUAUUAUUUGUCACAUAUUUUUUAUAUAUCCACCUCCUAGAAAUAAUAGGAGUUUUCAAACUGCCGGAAAUAGCGGGAGUUUUCAAAAUCGUCGGAAAUAGUGAGGUUUUCAAACAGUUGAAAAUAGCGGGGGUUUUCAAAACAGUCGGGAAUAACGAAGGUUUUCAAAACUGUUGGAAAUAGUAGGGGUUUUCAAAUUGUCGGGAAUAACAGUAAUCACUUAGCGACGUUGAAUCUUUCAUAGAAAAAGCAAACCGCGAGUAAUACACUUAACAUGGGUUAAAACUGCAAAAAAUAACCCAUUAAAAUUAAUUUAUUUUUGUAGUGAGUAUGUUUUUCUAUAAGAGUAUUUUAAGGGUAUAGUUUUGUCAAGAGUAAUUUUUGUUUGUAACAAGUAGAAUCAGUAUUAUAAAUAGUUUUUCUUUUCCAUUAUAAUCAAAGAUUUACCUUUUCAUAACUUCUGUAAUAAAUUUUCAUUAAAUAGUAAUGUAGAGUGCAAAAAUAAAAUUUUAUAUCUGAUUUAGAACAAUAUUAAAAAACCUUAUGAUAUUUGGUACAAUAUUCUGAAUAACAAAAAAAUAUUUUAUUUCUUAUAACAAAAAUUAUAAUUUCCUAUUCUAACAAAUUUAAAAACUAUUUUAAAUUAAAUUUUUUGAAUAUUUAAAAAAAUUAGAGAAAUUUGAAUUUGAAAAAAAAUAUAAAGAAUCCAAAUUUUACAAUUUUACCCUUUAAAUAACUAUUUUUUUUAAAAUUCAAAUAAUUCUUUCCAAUAAAAAAUAACCUACACAAUAAAAAAAAUUGCAUACAACAAACUUAAAAAAUUAAUUAUUUUUGUAAUAAUUUUUAAUAAAAAUAUUUUUAUAAUUUUAUUUCAAUAGUUAUUAUAAUAAUAAUUUUUUUAUAAAGAAAAAAAGUGUAGUUAUUCCUCUUUAAAAAAAUAUAUUUGUUUACUAUAUAAAAUAAAUAAUUUAUUUUUAUUUUAUUUUAAAAUAAUAAAUAAUUUUUCUUAAAAGUAAUUGAUAUAUAUGGAUAAUAAUUUCUACCUUAUAUAAAUAUUUUUAAAUAAAGAAUAAAAUAUAUUUUAAAUUCAUGUUUUUGUACAUAGUAAGAUUUAUAAUAAUAUUUUAAAUUUAUAUCACAUAUUAAUUAUAUAAUAUUUUAUAAUAAAAUAAAAUAAAAAUGCACUUAUAGGUCUGUGUUUUCAUUAGUUAGUAAUAAUAAUAAUAAAGAUAAAAGUAAUGUAUUUAUUCUAAAACAAUAUGCACAAAGUUUUUUCGGAUUCUGUAUAAAUGGUCAAAAAUUCACCUUUUUUUUCAUUAAAAGUGAUGCAUAUUACGAAAAUUUCAUUACUCCAAUCUCUUAUAGUCAAAUUGUUGGAAUGGAGUUCCAAUUUUGUCAUGGUUUGUUAGUGCUUUAUUAAUAUAAUUUUGGCAAAAAUUUGGUGUUUGAUACAAAACUUAAGAAUUAAAAAAUUACAAUCUUUUUCUAAAUUAAUUUAUGCACAAGAUAAUUUUAUAAUUUUGAAAAAUGUAUUUUUUAUUAUUUGAAAUAUUUAUAAAAUUUGUCCACUAUUUAAUACACGAAACAAUAAUAUUCUAGCUUUAUUUCUACGAAAAAUAAAUAUUAAAGUAUGCAAUCAAUCACUACCACCUUGAUUAAAAGUCGACUCAAUUUAUCAAAUAUCAUUAUUUACACUUUUAUUUCUCUCUCUAACAUUCUUUUGUUUUUAUUUCUUUAUCUAGCACCCUUUUAUUUUUAUUUUCCUACCUAUCACUAUUUCAAAAGUAAAAAAAUAAUAAUAAUUUUUUUUUUAAUUUUGAAUGGAUUAAAAAAAUAAAUAUUUUUAAUGUUUAAAAUAGUUAUUAAUGAAUAAAGAAAUGAGUUUCUAAAAAAUAAAAAUAAUAAAUAAUAAAUUAAAAAUGUUUAGUUUAAUUUUUUUUAAAUGAAGAAAAUGAAAAUUUAAGCCUACAACAACAUAAAAGUUGAAUAUAUAAACAUAAAUUAGUAUUUAUUUUUAUUAUUAUUUAUGAUGUAAUCAUGUUAAUUUCAAGUAAAAAAUAUAGGAUAUAAUUAUAAAAAAAAUCAAAAUCAAAAUCAAUUAAUAUUAAUUUGUAGUGGACACAUAGAUAAUAUUAUAGUGUCUACUCAUUUUUAAGCAUUAAGUAUAACAUUUGCAUUAAUUUUUUUUUUAGGAUUUUGCAUUUAGGGUAGACACUUCAAUAUUAUAUGGGUGUCAACUACUAAUUAAUACUAAUUUACUUUGUUUUUUUUUAUAAUUAUGUCCUGUAUUUUUUACUUGAAAUUAACAUGAUUACAUCAUCAAUAAUAAUAAAUAAAUACAAAUAUUCAUUUGUGUUUAUAGAUUCAACUUGUAUGUUGGUGUAGGGUUUAAUUUUUUAUUUUCUUCAUUCUUAAAAAAUAUUUAAACUAAACGUUUUUAAUUUAUUAUUAUUUUUUUGUAAAAAAUAUUUCUUUAUUCAUUAAUUAUAUUUCUAACUAUUUUAAACAUUAAAAAUAUUUAUUUUUUUAAUUUAUUCAAAAUUAAAAUUAUCAAUUUUUUUAAUUUUUUAAUUUAUUUUUUUACUUUUGAAAUAGUGUUAGAUAGGGAAAUAAAAACAAAAGGGUGCUAGAUAAGGAAAUAAAAACAAAAGGGUGUUAGAUGGGAAAAUAAAAAUGUAAAUAGUGUUAUAUGAGGAAUUGAGUCUCAAAAGUCUUCUCAUAAUUUAAAUUUAAAUUUGAUUUCUUUAAGCUAACUCCUUUAUGAAAUUUGUAUUAUUUUAAUAAUAUACACUACAAGAAAAUCAUCAAAUAGAAAUCAAUUUUAGAGUAAAAAAUAAUUAGUUGCUAUAGUGACUAAAUUAAAUAUCACUUUAGAGACUAAAAUAUUUUUUAGUUUCUAAAUUGGUAUCUAAUUAAUAUCAAGGUUUUAAUGACCGAACUGUUUUGUUCAGGUUCGUUAUUAUACUGAGUUAAAAACUUUGGUUAGGUGCCGACCAAACUGCUCAGGAGAUAAGGGAAUAUUUCAAUCACAAAUCCUACAAUAUUUGUUAAAGAAGUAGUAGAACACCAUUUAUCAUUUCAAAAAUUAAUAAAAGUACAUGUACCAAUAGUCUAAGAAAUAUAAUCAAGUAUAUGAGAAUAAAAUUGUAUAAUUCCAGGCCAAAGAUAUGAGGAUCUAUAAACCAUUCUAAACUCAUAUUUUGAUUUAAGAACCCUGACUUUCAGGAGAAAAGACAAAGGUCUGUUACUAUAAACAAAGUUCCAAGCAAGCUUAAGAAGAUAUAUAUUAUUUUCACGAUGAAGGUUAAUAAUCUUCAAACCUCAUUCUAAAAAGGAAAACAAAUCGUAACCCAAUUAGUGGUAGAUAUGCAUUUUUUCAAAAUAUCACCAAUCGAAAUAAAAUUUCGACACCCUUCUCAACUUGCUUAAAAAGUGAAACAUAUAUACCAUUUGUACACAUUAAAUAUAUAAACUAGAAAUUCAAUAAUCACCAUAUUAACCAACUAAAUCAACCCAUCAUGCUAAGAAAUAAGUUGUUCAAUUCCUUAUUCAGAAGGUAUUUGAACUUAUAUUAUUAGCUUCAUCAUUUAAAAAAAAAGUUCAUCUCAAAUAGUUUAACUCUAGAUUAAUUUUUUUAUAUUAUUUGAUUUUAUUAUUCCAUACGUAUAGAUUUGAAGAAUCUUUAACUUUUUGUAACUGUUAUUUGGAUAUUUAGUAACUUUCACAUAAAAACUUUUCAAAAUUGAAAUUGAUUUCUAAACUGUAUGAGUCUUAUUGUUUUAAAUUGGUGGCUUGAGUAUUGAAAUUAAAGAAAUAGACAUUGAGGUUUAGGGUUUUUUUGAAAUUGAUAAGAGUAUGUGAAGGUCAACUUGAGUAAUAUUAGUUAUUUUGAGCUUUAUGUUUUUUUUAUCAGCAAAUAGUAAUGAAAUUAAAUGAGACAAAUUCAGGGGUGGUCCAACCCUUAUACAGCAAAAUGAUGCUCACAAAGUACCUUUCCAUCUACAUAUCAACCAAAAAAAUAACAAAGAUCAACCAAUAUAAAAAACUAAAUUGAAUGCAUACAUACCAAGGGUUCUAGACACCAAUCAGAGAAUGAAAAAUUAGCUGACGGUAUUUUUGAAGAGAUCUAGGACCAAACCUUAAUCUGUGUCAGAGAGAACACUUCAGUAUGAUCAACCACUCCACCUUUAAAUAAACAGUUAUUCUUGUGCCUCCAUAUCUCGCUAACCAACGCAAUCCACAAGUUGCCCAUAAUAAGAUUAACUGAAGUGGGUGCAUCCAGAAUCUUGAAAUGUUCAAAAUGAGACCCAAGAUCCAUAAAAUCGACUGAUCUUAGUCCUAACCAGUCAUAACAAAGAUUCCAAAUUAGCCAAGCAACUCUACAUUCGCCGAACAAAUGAUUUGUUGACUCCUCUGACCUCCUACACAAGCAACACAAAUUACUCUCGACCUCGAUUCCUCUUCUCUUCAGAUUAACCCUACAAGCAACCUUGUUUUCAAUCACUCUCCAAGAUGUGACUUGAGCUGAGGGAAGCGCCCUAAUUUUCCAGAAAAAAUUAUAACUUCUUGAGUCUUCCUCACUUCCUUCUCCCCUUUAAAAACCAUAAGCGAACUUAACUGAAAGCUCUAUUGAAUCACUAUCCUUCCAAACACAUCUAUCCAUUGUUUCCAUCUCGAGCAUCUUAGUAGAGAUCAUCUCUAAGAAUUGACUUUCUUGCUCCUCUUCCCAAGCGAACAUACCCCUUCUCCACCUUAAGUUCCACUCCCAAGUCCUGUUCCCCCAUAUACCACAAUCACAUAAAUUUGCCUCCUUAUUAACAAACAAAGAAAAUAAUCUUGGAAAUCCAAUCUUCAAGGCUUCUGAGUCUAUCCAAUUGUCUGACCAAAACAUAACCUCUCUCCCGUUUCCGACCUCCAAAUUCAAACGAUCUUCAAACUUCCUUCCCCAUUCCUCAAACCUUCCUUAAAUCUCUCCACCACAUAAAGACCUUACUAUUAUUACCUCGCUGCUCCUUCAAACCUCUCUAUCCUCCAUACUUAGAUUCCAAUACCUCCCUCCACAACCCCUGUUUCCGUUUUCAAACGCCAAAUCCAUUUUUCCAUUAGAGCCAAAUUAAACUGCCUGACAUUCAUAAUACCAAGCCCUCCUUCUUCCUUGGAUUUACAAACCUUAUCCCAUGCCACCCAGACAAUCUUCCUUCCAUCUAACCCCCAUCCCCACAAAACAUUCAUCUGCAGGCUCACAAUCUUCUUUAAAACAAUAGGCAAAAUCUUGAAUAGAGAAAGAUAAAACAAAGGUAUUGACGACAAGACCGACUUAAUUAAGCAUAUCCUCCCCGCCAUCGAGAUAAAUCUUUCUUUACCCUGUUAACCACUUCAUCCCAUAACUCACCCCUCUUAUGACACCCCCCUACAGGCAUCCCCAAAUACUUAAAAGGAAUUCUCAUCAUCUCACAAUUUAGAAUUGUCGCAAAGUGGAGAAUCUCCGACUGCUCCAUCCCAAUCCCACCAAGUUUACUCUUAGAAAAAUUCACCUUAAGACCAUAUACCAAUUCAAAAUAGUUCAACGUUACCUUUAUAUUAAAAACACUUUUGCUAUUUGCCUUACAAUACAACAAUGUAUAUAUUGUUAUUGUUCUAUAAUUAAAUUUUAGCGUAAAGAUUGUUAGAGUGAUGCUUAAGCAAACUUUAACCUUAAGUGAAAAGUAUUAUUAUUUAAGUAAGAGAGACAAUAAUAAUAAUCUCUUCUCUUGAAAUUCAUUACUCAAAUAAUGAUUAAUUACUCAGUUUGAAUGUAAAAAUUAAGUGAAAAAUAUUAUUGUUUAAGAAAAAGAGACAAGAGAAAAAUCUUCAUAACAAACUUUAUUUUAAUCUUAAGCCACAUCACACAACUUUAUCACAGGCUUAAUAUUGACUUAUUUUUCAUGAAAAGUGUAUAUAACAUAAUAUAUUAGAAUGCAUAAAAGCAAACAUGAAACACAUAAACAAGCAAUUAGAAAUAACGUAUGAUGUGGUCUACUUGAAGAACUCCAUAACCCAGAAAAUGUUGACACGACAUUCAUAUCUGAUGCCACUAAAUCCAGCUGCUCUUGCCAGUUUCAUGAACUCUUCUUCAGAUCGUUCUUUACCUCCCGGGUUCUGAGUCAUCAUCGCAACAUCCAUUUGUGCAACCGUCUUAUAAACAUCAUUAUUCUCUGGUAUCUGUGGAAGAAUUGCCUCCACAACUAUCACCUUUCCAUCAUCAGGAAUUGCAUCAUAGCAAUUCUUCAACAGCUUCACACAAUGUUCAUCACUCCAAUCAUGAAGUAUCCACUGUACAAUUACUUAAUGUCAAACCGCAUUGAAUGAAGUUGGUAUAAGUCAUGCAUCAGUUUGAAUUAAACUCUUUUUUCAACCAACUAUUAUUCAUAUUCAAGACAAGAAACAUGUUCAUACUUUGUAUUAAAUACAUAAAAAAAAACCAAAUAAUGUUUGAAUAUUAAUGUUUAGAAAUUUAAACUAAUAAAGUCAAACAAAGGGGUUAGAGUUAUGAUAUUUUGACAUGGUCAAAACAAUAUUAAAUGCACAUGCUUAUUAAUUUAAUAAAUUAAUAUUUUAAUUAUAUUGAUUUUAUAUUUUAAUUUAAAAUAUUAUCAUAUUAUUAUAAGGUGUUAUGAAGUGAAUCUGUUUAGAGUUUCAAACCAUAUUUUUCCAAUUAAAUAGUAGUAUAUUUCCCAGACCGAGACUUACCUUCAUAAAUAUGGCGUCUCCUUUAGGCACAUUUUCAAACAUGUCUCCCUCAACGUGUUCCACUCCUGCAAUAUUAGAAAGUAAAUAGUACACACUAUUUAUGUUAUUGUCUUGUAAAAACUCAAAGUUGACCUUCAAAAGACGAAAAAACAACAUUUUUUUUUUAAAUUUUGCAGAACCACAGGAUUGGAAUGUGUAAGGAUGAUACCAGGAUAGGAAGGAGCAUCUCGAAUGACAUGAGGCAAGUCGAAAUUGAUGCCAUGGAUAUUAGGGUAUUUGGAAGUGAUCAAGUUAAUGUUUAUUCCAAGACCACCACCAACAUCCACCACUCUUUUUAUGCCCUCAAAACCUUCGUAGGACUCCAGAACCUUCUUCAUCACCAAAGGGGUGUUGAUCAUUGCUGUGUUGAAAACUUUAUUGAACCUUGAAUCCAAACGUGCAUACUCAAAAGCAUGAGUGCCAUGAACCCUGUUGAAUGGAACACCCCCCUCCCUAAUUGCAUCUUUCAGCUCACUCCUAUAAUAAUAUAUAAACAAAUUACUAGUACCAUACAGAAAUACAUGAAAUCUUUAAAAAUAUAAGAUACGGAAACAUAAAUCUAUAUCUAUAACUAUAUAUAAAGAUGAUUUUUCAUUAUAACCAUUUUUUGGUAUACACAAUUUUUUUAUGAUUCUAUCCUUAUUCAAUAUAUCUCAUCUUAUUAGUAUUUUAUCAUUUCAUAUAAAUUAUUAAAAAAAUAAAAUUAUUUAUUAAUUUGUUAAAUUAAUGUUAUGUGACAGUCUUUAUAUGUAAACUAACUUCUCACUCUUCCUUUACUUUCCUAUUAGGCAACAACAAAAAUAAAGGUGCUCUCACCCUCACUCCUCUAUUAAUUCCCACACCAAAUCUAGCAACAACAGAAAUAAAGAGAUCAUACUCUCACCCUCACUCUUCCAUUCUCACACCAAAUCUAACGUAUACAACAAAAUAACAUACAUUUAUUUUCAAUCACUCUCUCGAGUUCAUUUCAAACAACUCUAUUCUUUGGUAAAACCAUCAUUCUUUUUUAUCUACCAUCAAGUGAAUCUUAACAUUAACAUGAACAUCAUCACACUCUCCGAUUCCAAAACCACCCAUGGAAGAAAAUAAAAAACUUGAAGGAGAGAACUCAAACCAUAGGAGAAACAAAAUGUUGAUUAAUCAAUUUAUCAUUUAUUUUUUACAUAUUAUUUUUUGUUUUUCAAUUUUGACUCAUCCAAAAUUAUUGUUGUAUGUAUGUUAAAUUUUUAUCAUCAUAUAAGUUAAACAGAAGAAGGAAUGCGGAUACACAUACACUACAAUGCCUCUGAUUUCGCUAGUAUUAUAUAAUUUGACAAUAAAUACUUAUGUGCACAAGUAUCACUUAUUUUUAGUAAAAAUAUGUUUCUCAUUACUAGUUAAAAAGGAUUUGUUCCUUAUUUUUAUAACUAUAAUAAAAAUUUAUAUAAUAAAUUUGAGUUUUUAAAAAUUUAAUGUAUUUUUUUUUUUUAAGAUUGUAUUAGAACCAUACUAGAAUUGUCAGAAAUCCAACAAAUAUUUUUUGAAUUGAACACUUCACAUAUACAUAUUCUACAAACAUAUUCUACAAGUGUCAUAUACAUAUUCUACAAGUGUCGAUAUGUAAUACAUGUAUCGAUAUGCAUACCAUUUAAGAUACUUGUCCUAAACUCUUAGCACGUUAGAUAUACGAAUAUGUUUGUGAUGGAAAAGAACAUAAAAUGAUAAUAAUAGUUGAGAGAGAGAGAGUUUAACCAGCUGUGUAGAGAGAUUUUGUCUUGGAUCAAGGCCAUCACGGGCCCCAACGAAACUCCAUCAGAAUUGGGAACAAAGAAUGCGGCGACGGGAGUCAUGGUGUAGAGCCUGUGAAAGGUGGGAGGGACACGGUGGUCGGAAACGAGGGAAGAGUGAAGAAUGGAGUGAGAAGAAAGAAGUGCGAGGAGACGAUCUAGCAUUGAGGCUGCUUGUGGGUUACUGCAACUAAUCUUUGAUGCUAUUUCCUUAGCAGACAGCUUAGCACCUUCUCCCGCUUCUUUCAGCACCUCAAACACUCCCAGCUCCGUCGCUGAUUGCACUGCCAUCGAAAGAACCACUGAACUUGUAAGCUGUAUGGCACGCAAGAAGCUUUCUUCAUCUUCUGUUUCUUCUUCUUCCUUCCUCUUCUCUUCACCAUUGAGCCUUGAAUUUGGAAGGCUUGCCAUCUGCACUUCAACACCUGCAAUCACUCACCACUUUCUACGCUUGAAACUAUACUCUUCUUCCCUAUUUUUCCACAAUAUAUUGAACAAUCCAAUGAUCUUUUGAAUGCUUCUUUUGUAAGGUGCUACUCUUUGACCCGUGCAACACACGUCUUUUUCAUUUUUUACUUAACAUUAGUUAACAAAAAAUAAAUUUAUAUUAUAAGAAUAUUAUAAAGUAGUGUAUAAAAAUAACAUACAAUUAAAUGUAUAUUUUUAUGGGUAAAAUAAACUUGUAAAUAUAAUAAUAAGUAUACAGUUGUGGUAUGGUAGAUGGAAUGUAGGUAUUAGACGGUAUGAAACAUUAGACCUUAUAUUUCAUAAUUUGAAUUGUUUGAUUUGUUUUUUUUUCUAUAUUGUUUAUAUUUAAGGAUUAGGAUUAGGAUUUAGGAUUUAUAUUUAGCUAUGUGGAUGUAUAUUUUGAUAUUUGAAUAUGUUAAUUUUGGAUUUUGUAGUAUUUUCAUAUUGGUAGUAGACGAUGAAGAGAGAAUGCUAGUUUUCAUCUUUACAAAAUAGUUGUUGCUUAUACUCAAUCCAUUUUGUAUUAAGUGAUUCAAAGAUAUAUCUUAUAUGAACAUCAAAAUAGCGGAUAGGAAAUACUGACAUUUCUUGCAACCAUUACACUAAACAAGUUCUUUUAUCACAUUAUGAUUUUUAUUAUACUUACUAUCAUUAUUCUUAAUAUUAAUAUUAAUAAUAAUAUAAAUAUUAUUAAUAUUUAUAAUAUCAUUAUUUAUUAUUGAUUAUUUUUUAAUUAAAUUUUAAAUAAGUUACAUGUGGAUUGUAUUAUCGUAUGUAACUGUUAUUUUUAAUUAAAUUUUAAUAAAUUACAUACAAAUAAAGUCUGUACGUAACAUUUUUAAUUAUUUUAUAAUUAAAUUUGAAAUAUGUUACAUACGAAAUUUAUCCAACAAUUUUUUUUUAAUUUUCAUUACAUACAAAUUAUUUUUUAAUUAAAUUUAAAAUAAAUUACAUAUGAAUUUAAACUGUAUGUAACUGUUUUUUUUUAAUUAAAUUUUUAAUAACUGUUUUUUUUUAAUUAAAUUUUUAAUACAUUAUAUAUAGAUAUAAUUCGUAUGUAACACUUUUUUUUAUUUUUUAAUUAAAUUUGAAAUAAGUUACAUAAGGAUUUAAACUGUAUGUAACAGUUUUUUUAAUUAAAUUUUUAAUACAUUAUAUAUGGGUAUAAUUAGUAUGUAACACUUUUUAUUAUUUUUUAAUUAAAUUUAAAAUAAAUUACAUACAAAUUAUAUCCGUAUAUAACAGUUUCUUAUAAUUAAAUUUUCCAUUUUUUUUAAAAUUAAAAUUAAUGUUCCAUGGCUAUAUUAUUUUAGAUAUUCUAUAUCAUUAUAACUAGAAUAAGUAUUAUUUAUAUAGAAAGUGUGAGCCACAUUAAUUAUAGGUCAAUAUUUAUUUUAUUUUAAGGCAUUAUUUCCAGAUACGAUAUCCGAAGCUUGCGAUAGCACUAAUAUUUUAAGGUAACAAAUAACAUUUUUUUAAUUAGCAUAUGCGUAUAUGAUCUUGUGCAAGCUAGCUAAGAACUUCACUUUUUCCCUUACACUUAUCUUCAUGUUGUAUCAAGCAAAUUGGACCUAUAAUUUAUUUUCACAAAGUAAAAUGGUGCUUUGUUGCUACAUAGACCUAAUAAACAAUGGUAUUUGAUAAUAGUAGCCAAAGAUGCUUUACAGAAAAUGUUAAAAGAUGUGACCGGAAUGUUUAGAGUUAAGUGAUGUUACAUUGGUUUAGAUAAUUAUUGAAAUUGUUAUUAAUAAUUUUUUUUUACAUAAUGAUAAUUACCUAUAGAUUUAGAUUUAUAGAUAAAUUUAGACAUACCUACAAAUGAUUACUGUAGGUAAAAUGGAGUUACCUUGUUAAUGAAAAUGUCAUUGUAAGUUUUAUAGUUCAACGCCGACUUAAAACAUCAUUAUUAGUGUUUUAAUGACAAUUUAUCACAAAAUCAUCAUUUUAAAUGGAUUCAAUAAUGAUGAAUAAUAGAGACAAACCUGUUAUGAAAAUGAAAAAAAUAAAAUUUUGAUGGAAUAAGUAUGUUGACUACCAUAAGGUUAUGCAUAAACAAAUUGUAGGAAGACUUAAAACUUUGGGAUUGAGUGUGAAUAGAUUAUUUCAAAUCACCUAUAAUACCAUACUAAAAAAAUGGAAUAUGUCUGAACUGCACAAACAUGUUAGGUUUAGCAAAGAACAAGGUUUAAGUAUGUUAAAGGUUAAUUAAACAUCUAAAAAUCUAAAAGAAAUAGUGAAAAGGCAAUACCGGUCAUUUAUGUGAAAAACUUGUACAUUUUGACAAGGAUUACUCAAAAUGUAAAGUUUUAGUUCAAAAAAAAGUUAAAGUUAAUGUUUACAUACUAAUAAAAUUUAAUGAAAAGAGGGAUUACUUAGUGUUUAAAUCAUAAUAUUAAAUAAUUUAUUUUUUUAUAAAAAAUAAAGUGAUCAAAUUCUAGUGGAAGCGGCGUGAUUUAUCUUUCACAUCUUUAAAUUUUUUUUAAUUUUAUUCUUUAUUAAUAUGAAAAGUGAACAUAACAUAAUAUAAUACACACCAUGAGCUUAUUCUGUUACUUUAAAAUGCAUACAAGCAAACAUGAAACACAUAAACAAGAAAUUAGAAAUAACACAGAGGAAACAUGUGGUGUAGUCUACUUGAAGAACUCCAUAACCCAUAAACUGUUGACAUGACAUUCAUAUCUGAUGCCACUAAAUCCAGCUGCUCUUGCCAAUUCCAUGAACUCUUCUUCACACCGUUCUUUACCUCCCUCGUGCUGAGUCAUCAUCCCAACAUCCAAUUGUGCAACUGCCUUAUAAGCAUUAUUAGUCUCUGGUAUUUUUGGAAGAACUGCCUCCACAACUAUCACCUUUCCAUCAUCAGGAAUUGCAUCAUAACAAUUCUUCAACAGUUUCACACAAUCUUCAUCACUCCAAUCAUGAAGUAUCCACUGUACAAUCAUUGAAUGAGGUUGGUAUAAUGCAUCACUUUGAAUUAAACUUUCAACCAACUAUUAUUCAUAUAUUUCCCUCCUCACUCACACUUUACCUUCAUAAAUAUGGCGUCUCCUUUAGGAACAUUUUCAAACAUGUCUCCCUCAACGUGUUCCACUCCUGUAAUAUUAGAAAGUAAAUACUACACACUCUUAAUAUUAUUGUCUUGUAAAACUCAAAGUUAACCAAAUAACAUUUUUUUUUUUAAUUUUGCAGAAGCACAGGAUUGGAAUGUGUAAGGAUGAUACCAGGAUAGGAAGGAGCCUCUCGAAUGACAUGAGGCAAAUCGAAAUUGAUGCCAUGGAUAUCAGGGUAUUUGGAAGUGACCAAGUUAAUGUUGAUUCCAAGACCACCACCAACAUCCACCAAUCUUUUUAUGCCCUCAAAACCUUUGUAGGAUUCCAGAACUUUCUUCAUCAUGAAAGUGGUGUGAUUGAUCAUUGCUGUGUUGAAAACCUUAUUGAAUCUUGAGUCCGAACGUGAAUAGUCAAAAGCAUGAGUGCCAUAAACCCUGUUGAAUGGAACACCCCCCUCCCUAAUUGCAUCUUUCAGCUCCGUCCUAAUAAUGUAAAAACAAAGUUAUUGCCCGAAAGUGCCUCUCAAUUCAUAAAUCCUCUUGGAAACAUUUACUUCCAAUGACAUAAUUUAGGAGAUCGCAUAAAAUCAUAAUACUGAAUGAUGUGACUUUAUUCUUUUAUUAUCACAACAACCCGCAUUAAAUUUGAACUAUUAUCUCCCAAUGAUUAGCAAGAGAGAGAAUGAAAGAUUGCAACAAGGAGUCAAAAGUGUAAACAAUGUAAUUUUGUCCAAUAGUUGGUGAGUGGACCAACGACAAACAAACUGCACACGGACCAUGAAAAAGUUUGUAAGGAAUCAUCACUAGUUUUUUGUUGGUAUAAUUUAAAUUAUAUAAAUAUUAAUAUUUUGUUACAGUGUAAAGUAAGAAGUGAAAAUAUCAUGAGCAUAAUAAUUGAGAUACCAGCUUUGUAGGAAGAUUUUGUCUUGGCCCAAGGCCAUCAUGGGCCCCAACGAAACUCCAUCAGAAUUGGGAGCAAAGAAUGCGGCGACGGGAGUGAUGGUGUAGAGCCGGUGAAAGGUGGGAGGAACACGGUGGUCGGAAGCGAGGGAAGAGUUAAGAAUGGAGUGAGAAGAAAGAAGUGCGAGGAGACGAUCUAGCAUUGAGGCUGCUUCUGGGUUACUGCAACUAAUCUUUGAUGCUAUUUCCUUAGCAGAAAGCUUAGCACCUUCACCCGCUUCUUUCAGCACCUCAAACACACCCAGCUCCGUUGCCGUUUGCAGCGCCAUCGAAAGGACAAUCGAACUCAUAAGCUGAAAGGCACGCGAGAAGCUUUCUGCAUCUUCUAUCUCUUCUUCCAUCCUCUUUUCUUCACCAUUCAGAGUUGAAUCCGGAAGGCUUGCCAUCUCCACUUCAACUCCUGCAAUCACUCACCACUUCUACACUUUAAACUAGUCUAUAUUCACACACUAUUCUUCUUCUUCUUCCGUUGAGAAAGCAAGAGAGAGAAGAAGAGAAGGGAACACACUACGUACGUGCAACAUGAUCAAUAAAGAAGAGGUCUAAAAUAUCUUAUUCGUACUCUAUGCAGAUAACACGCUCAGUAACACCGUAGUUUUUCACUAUUAUACCAUCCAAUGAAAAUGCUUUAUCGUACAGACGUCUCAACCCAUAUAGAGUUUUAAAGAUCUUUUAAAAUUAAUUAUAAUUUUAUUUUUCAUAGUCUUUAAUGAUUUGUGUUCUCUCCGGUUGACUUCGGUUAGACGUCUUCUUUCGGAUCUGCUUCUUUUUGACUUUGAUUCACGUCUCCUUGGUGCACUAGAAUGUAGAGAGAGAGAAAAUGUAAGUUCAUCAACCAUGACAGAUACUUCGUUUUUCUUUACUAAUUUUUCUCAUGAGUAUGAAGAAAAGGAUUUUUGAAAAUUUUUUUAAAGAUGGGAUAGAGUUUUGGAUGUGUUUAUAUCUAGGAAGUUUAACGUUAGGAACCAACAUUUUGGGUUUGUUAGGUUUCAAGGGGCGAGGGACGUUUUGAGAUGGAAAGAAAGCUAGACACUAUUUGGAUUGUGUAUAGGAAAUUACGGGUGAAUAUAUCUAAAUAUAGUAGGUGAGAGUAGUCAAGAGAAGUCCGUAACUUCAAAAAGCAAUCGUAGGGGCCUCAAAAAGUUUGGAGCCAAAAGGCGGACCAACGGACUUUCGCACAAGAGGUAAAGAAUGGGAGUGGUGAUUCUUCUCAGAAGGAGGUUGUUGCUACUGUCCAGAAGCAUUUAGAUGAAUCCCCGCCUAUCUUUAGGGUCAUGAUGGAGGAUUCUGAGUGGUUGGAGAGUAGUUACAUUGGAAGAUUUUCUAAGAAAUCAAUUUUUUCAAGCGAUUAAGGAGAGUCUCUUUUUGGGCGGAUGUGGUUUUGUGAAUUUAGUGUUUCUUGGUGAAGAUUUCGUACUGUUGUCUUGUGAAGAUGCAGAUAAUCUGGCGAAAGUCAUUGAAGGGAAUAAAGAUUGGCUAGACAAUACUUUUGUUUCUCUAGUUCCUUGGGAGAAUUCGUUUUCAGUGUCUGAAAAUUUUAUACUAGUUCACUCAAUUCCUAAGCUACAUUCAGUUCUCAGACAAACCUUUGAGUUUCCACUAGUAAUCAACACAGAUUACAACCACACAUCACAAAGAGGUGACUUUGAAUCCCACAAAGUCUACCCACCCCCUUUGCAAAACUUCACACCUCAAGACAAAACAACCUCUGUCUUUACAGGAUUUCAAACACAAACAGUAUGUAAAAGAAGUACAAUUACAAGACACUAAUCAAUGAUAGAAAACACGUGGAAUUAUAGAACCAGAACCAGAGAUCCUAUGAUCAGCACUUGUCACCACUAUAAAGCUUGAAAGCACUCUUGCUCUUUUUUAAAACACUUUCAAAAAAACCAAAUCUCUUUCUCAAAUCUGAAUCAAUACUUGCUGUAUUUGUUAUGUAUUUUGAUUUGAACAAAAGCCUUAUUUAUAGCCUUUGAAAAACAGUCGUUUAAGGCAGAUUUGAACAACUGAAUCAGUUAAAAUAGGUUUUCAAAAAACUGUUAUGAAAACACACAUUUAACCGGUUGAAACCACGAUUUAACCGGUUGAACGAGUCAAAGCAGUUACAUAACUGAUUCAAAAAGCAGUUUCAAAACAUCCAGCCAGCUAAGUGACAAACAACCGAUUAUUUCGACAAAUCAACUAGUUUUUUCUCUUUGCUUGAAAAAACACUUAGUUUCUUAAAAUAGAUUUAAUCAAGCUUUGUGUAGGCUUCAAUUUCAAGGAGUGAUCUUAACAAAGAUUCUAAACAACCUAAUCUAAACCCAAACCCAGAAAGCAGCACAGUUUUAGGCUUCAUGUGGAUUUGAUACAUCAAAGCUUCCAUCUUCAACAGGCUUCUCUGCAGGUAGGGUUUGCUCUCUGGUCAGUUCUAGCGGAGCUCAAGAUGGCGUUCUCGGUGGGCGGUAACGUCACUCCCGUUUCCUCUUCUCCGACUGCGCCUCGCGGUACAGUUACAACUGGGCUUUGUGUGCUGGACCCACGUUGUGCAGCUACAUCGUCAAGCAGAUAGGGGAUGAUGUCGUGCGAGUUUGAUGGCGACACGAUUGACUUAAGAAGAAAAAUCAAUUGUUCAACCGAUUAAUACUACUAUUUCAGCCCCUCACACAAGAAGAAUUUUAUUAAUUAUCAUUAAAGUAAUUAAUUAUCCACAACUACCAAAAUGUUUUUUUAUAACCAACAAGAAAAACUUGAAAUUUGAUUUAAAAAUCUCAAUAAAAAUAUUAGGUCCACCUAAAUUGCAAAUAUUGGAGAAAUAUGUUCUUUUUAAAUCGAUUUUUUUAAAAAAAUACUUAAUUUCAUUUUACUGCACACAUAAUCUGAAAAUGCCAAUAUAAAUAUAAAUAAAUAACUAAAAUAUUACACCAUUAAAAAUAAAUAAGGAUAUUAAAUUUAAACCAACAAAUUGAAAGAUGAAAAGUUAUGCAAUUAAAUAAAAAUAAUUUAUUAAUCACCUCAUUCUUAACUUGAGUUUUAUUAUUUAAUAACAAUAGAAAUAAUCAUAUAUUUAAUAAUAAGUUUAUGUUAUGUUAUACCCUUGAAAGAAAUAUUGAAGGAUGCAUAUAAGCUUAUGUUUAUGUUCUGUUUUACUUUGUACUCUGCUGAGGUGGAUUCCUGCAAAAAGCUUCAAUUUGUAGAGUAAGCAUCGUUCUUGUUUUCGUGCAACAUAGAAACUCCGAUAAAUACCCUGUAAUAAUUAACAGUUACCCAAUAACUGUUAUUACUUUCCUAUUUCCCUGAUUCUUCAAUCUCAUGCUUGCAUAAAUUUAGAAUGCUUUUAUGUUCAUCCUACGAGAGGUAAAGUAACUAUCUCAAAGUGAACUUUAACCCUAACUCAACCCCAUAAAUCGGUUGAGAGGGUUGAGGUUUGUACCCACGAUCUCCAACAUACUCCUCAUGCCGAGACUGCCAACUCGUGUGUGGGACUAUGUAUAUUUUGGGUGGUCCGAUAGCGGGUGACACGAUAGGCCCAACACAAACACUCGUUAGGAUAGGCUCGAAAUGACUCUGAUACAAUAUUACAAAGUAGACUUUAAGCCUAACUCAACCCCAUAAAACCGGCUCAUAGGAUUGAGGUUUCCACCCACUUAUAUACAACGAAAAGCUCUAAUCUCUAGUCGAUGUGGGAUCUCCAACAAUAAAAUUCAAUUCAUUUUCAGAUAAUAUUAUAUAUAACAUUAAGAAAAAUAAAUCUAAAUUUUGCAAUCUUGGUGAACCAAAUAUGCAGCAAGGUCAUGAAUUGAAAAGAAUUGAAAAGAAGUUCAAAGAUAUUGGCAUGAAUAGAAGCAUUAAGGAUACAAAUUGGAGUCAAUGGGAUUAUUUCCUUUAACAUGAUGUUACUCUUGAAAUGUGCAUUGUGCUAAUUCUUAGACUUUCUCUUCCACCAUCAUCAUUCAAAACUGUUUCUCCUUGUGCUUGUCGCUCUUCUAGAGGACUAAUGCUUUUAAAUGCACUUGGUGUAAAAUGAAAAAGCUAAUGAGAAUUUUGAUCAACAUAGCUAUUUGUUGAAUUCAUAUAGCUUUUUGUAAUUUUAGUUUUUGUUUUUUUGUGCUGGAUGAAUGUAUUGUGUGGGUUAAAUAGAUGAAGAAAAUUGAAUGAAGAAUAUAAUUUGGUUGUCAAUGAGACCCACAAGAAGUGAGACCAUUAGUGCUAAUAAAUAGUGUGCUAAAGUGAGUAAAGAAGACAAAUUGUUUACAAUCCUGGGCAUCAUUUUUCUAGUUAAUCUAAGCUCCUUUAGAAGAGGACAUUUAUAGUACUAAAAGAUGCCAAAAUUCAGAAAAGUUUAACCUAAAAACUCCUCACUUGACAAGUGUUCUCCUCUAAUUAGAGAGAAUUCUCUCCAUGAUAACAAUAAAUUUUCUCUCAUUGGAGUAAAUCCUCUUAAAUUAGAGAUUGACAAGUAACCUUUCUUAGUUGGUGGAGAUCAUCUUCAUUAAAGGUAAUUGGUGGAGAUCAUCUUCAUUAAAGAGAUACCAUGUGGACCUUCAUGUCCUCAUCGAGGAUUGCAUUGAAUCCAAUGAAGUCAAAUUGUCACUUUAGCUAGACAUUCUUUUUCUAUUUACACCUUAUUCUAAUUGACCUAAGUCGAAUAUUUACACCUUAUUCUAAUUGAUCUAAUACAUGGUUCAUGAAAAUAAGUCUAAUACAUUAUUCGAGUACAAGUCCAAAUACAAGCCCAAUUAAAUCCUACACAAAAAUUACUAAUUUACACUACUCUACAAAUUUACAUAAGAAAAUAAGAAAAACACAAAAAUUACUAAUUUACACUACUCUACAAAUUUACAUAAGAAAAUAAGAAAAACUAGAAAUGAAUGUUCUGAUCAAAAUUCCAUAUCCUUCAAUCUCCUUAGCCCAAAAUUGUGGUGGUGACUUAAUGGUCUCCACACGUCUCUUUGUUAAAUAUCCAACACCUAUUCUAUUUUCCACUUGUGGUAAAUUUAUAUUUUGUAUUAUUUUUUCUAAAAAUUUAUGGUUGAAACACAUGUCAAAAAUAUUAUAAAUUUUCUACAAAUUAAACAAUUUUCUUUUAAUUUUAUAGUUUUGAAUAAACAUAUUUCAACGAUAAUAAAUAAUUUAAAAUCAAUUUCUCUGAAUCUACAAUAAUGUAUCUGGAUCUACUAGGGAUUACUUAGUGCAUAAAUCAUAAAUUCAAAUAAAAAAUUUAUCUUCAUGAAAGAGUGAAAACUCUAAUGGAAAAGUUCUAAUCUUAUCUUUUGCAUACUUCAAUUUAUUUUAUUAAUAUGAAAACACACCCCAUGAGAUUAUUCUGUUAUUUUAAAAUGCAUAAAGCAAACAUGAAACACAUAAACAAGCAAUUUGAAAUAAAGCAGAGGAAGUAGGGGCACAGAGCAUAACAGAGCAUAGCAUAUGUUGUGGUCUACUUGAAGAACUCCAUAACCCAUAAAUUAUUCACAUGACAUUCAUAUCUUAUGCCACUGAAUCCAGCUGCACUUGCUAAUAUCAUGAACUCUUCUUCACAACGCUCUUUACCUCCCUGGUGCUGAGUCAUCAUCAAAACAUCCAUUUGUGAAACCUCCUUAUAAGCAUUACUAGUCUCUGGUAUUUUUGGAAGUACUGCCUCCACAACUAUCACCUUUCCAUCAUCUGGAAUUGCAUCAUAGCAAUUCUUCAACAGCUUCACACAAUGUUCAUCACUCCAAUUAUGAACUAUCCACUGCUCAUUCAAUAAUGUUGGUAUAAGUUUCAUGCAUCAGUUUGAAUAAAUCAAAGUUUCAAUCAACUGUUAUUCAUAUUCAAGAUAAGAAACACGUUCGUUGUGUUUAGAAGUUUAUAAACCAAAUAAAAGGUGUUUGAUAAGAGAGAUUCAUCUCCCCUUUAAAAUUAAAUACUACUAUAUUUCCCUAGCACCCAUCAUUAUGAAUUGACCAAAAUCCCCAGUAACACAGCCACACUUACCUUCAAAAAUAUGGCGUCUCCUUUAGGCACAUUUUCAAACAUAUCUCCCCCAACGUGUUCCACUCCUGCAAUAUUAGGUACCUUUUGCUUUUAAAACUCAACCUCAUAUAUUAUUAACAAAGAAAGUAUUGGACUCUAAGCAAGUAAAUAGUUUUUAAUUUUGCAGAACCACAGGAUUGGAAUGUGUAAGGAUGAUACCAGGAUAAGAAGGAGCAUCUUGAAUGACACGAGGCAAGUCGAAAUUGAUGGCAUGGAUAUGAGGGUAUUUGGAAGUGAUCAAGUUAAUGUUGAUCCCAAGACCACCACCAACAUCCACCAGUGUUUUUAUGCCCUCAAAACCUUCGUAGGAUUCCAGAACCUUCUUCAUCACCAAAGUGGUGUGAUUGAUCAUUGCUGUGUUGAAAACCUUAUUGAAUCUUGAGUCCAAACGUGGAUACUCAAAAGCAGGAAUGCCAUAAACCCUGUUGAAUGGAACACCCCCCUCCCUAAUUGCAUCUUUCAGCUCACUCCUAACAAUGUAUAAACAAAGUUAUUUCACUUGAGCAAAUGAAGAAACGUGCCCAAAAGUGCCUCACAAUUCAUAAAUCCUCUUGUAAACAUUUACUUCCAAUCACAUAAUUUAUGAAUAUGGACAUUAUACGUGUAAUCUCUAAAAUAUAAAAUAUAAAACACAAAGUUGACACUUAAUCAUAUGUGUUUUACAGGGCUUAUCACCCGCAUUAAAUUUAAAAUAUACCAAUAUGUUUGUGAUGGAAAAGGAACAUAAAAUGAUAAUAAUAGUUGAGAGAGAGAGUUGAACCAGCUUUGUAGGAAGAUUUUGUCUUGGCAUAAGGCCAUCACGGGCCCCAACGAAACUCCGUCAGAAUUGGGAACAAAGAAUGCGGCGACGGGAGUGAUGGUGUAGAGGCGGUGAAAGGUGGGAGGAAGACGGUGGUCGGAAAUGAGAGAAGAGUGAAGAAUGGAGUGAGAAGAAAGAAGUGCGAGGAGACGAUCUAGCAUUGAGGCUGCUUUUGGGUUACUGCAACUAAUCUUUGAUGCUAUUUCCUUAGCAGAGAGCUUAGCACCUUCUCCCGCUUCUUUCAGCACCUCAAACACUCCCAGCUCCGUCGCCGAUUGCACUGCCAUCGGAAGGACCACCGAACUCACAAGCUGCAUGGCACGCAAGAAGCUUUCUUCAUCUUGUAUUUCUUCUUCUUCUUCCUUCCUCUUCUCUUCACUAUUCAGCCUUGAAUCUGGAAGACUUGCCAUCUCCACUUGAACACCUGCAAUCACUCACUCACCACCUUCUACACUCUAAACUAGUGUAUAUACACACUCCUCUUCUUCUGGGAUACUUUAUUAUUCACGUUUAAAUCAACUUUAGAUUUAACUCAAAUUCAUAAUAUUUCUGUUAUAAGUUUCUAACACUUUGCUUUUAAGUUGAGGUUAUACUUAUAUAAUUAAAAUGUAAGAUAAAUAUAGUUUUCAUUUACUUUCUAUUCAACAACAAACAGAUAGAUAUCAACAUUUUUGUUUAGAUUUUAGGGUGAAAAUAAACCAUUCUAGUUGACUCAACUUCUGUAAUUAUUUAUAAUAUACUUAUUCAUGUGUUUAAUUGACAUUUCUCCAAUAUUUAAAGUUGAAAUGCAUGUGUAUGUGCAUGUGCAUGGCUAUAUUAUUUUAGAUUUUUUAGGUUUUAAGGGAUUAUUUCCAGAUCCGAUCGGAAGCGUAUUUAAAUAAAGAGCUAGCAUUAAUAUUUGAAGGUAAUAAAUAACAUUUGUUGUUAAACAUUGUUUAUGGUGUGCUAGCUAGAUAAGAACUUUAUUAUCAUUUUAAAUAAUUGAUUAGAUGAUAUGAAUGGCAAAUACACUUGUAAAUUACGGUUUUCAUGGAAAACUCAAUUUCUUUAUAGCACUUAAGAAUAAUGAAGUUAAUAGGAGAAUGAAGUUAAUAAUAGAUGAGAGAUAAAAGAGAGGAUAAGUGAAUGAGAAAUAAAAGAGAAUCUAUAUGUAACAAUAAAUUAAUAGAUAAAGUUAAUUAAUAUUGAAAUUGGUGACUUAUUAUUUGUAGAGUGAUGGGUAUGGACCGACGCAUAUCGGGUGGUCGUUACUUGAACUGGUUCAACUUGAUAAUAAUAGUCUCAAUAGCUUACGUUAGAAACUAAGGGGCAGUAGAGUGAUGGGUUUGGGCUCGAUGCAUAAUAUGAGAAUCGAAAUCCUAUCAUUAACAUGAAACGUGCGUCAUCCGUUAUUCAUUACACUAAAUCACACAUAAUUAAUGGCUCAGUAAAGACAGAAUCGGGUUACGUUACACAGGAUGUAUCAAUAUAUGUAAGGAGCGUCAGUAGGAAGAUCUAUCUUUUACACACUUGUAAAUGGUACACUUACCCUAGCCUAUUGAUUGAUGUUCUACGGCUAGAUUAUUGCUACGUUUGUCUAAAACAUUUGGUGCCCACCGUGGGUGAUGGAGAUCAAGCUCAAGUGGACAUGGAGGCCAAUCAACAAGAUCAAGAAGAGGUAGAAGCACAAAUGGAGGACGCCCAUGGAGGUCAAAGCCCACCUCAAAGGCUUACAAGAAGCAUGUUCAAAGCUUUAGGAGCUAGGGGACAAUUAUUUUCUCUUUUUGUAAUUUCUUUGGUUGAAGGUGCUUAGAGGCAAACAUUAGAAACCUCUUUUGUUAUAGCAUCUUUAAGCCUUUAGUUAGGAGCUUUAGGAGGGGGGUGCGUUAGUAGAUAGGUGUAGGAGUAGAAUAGGAGGUGCCAAAGUGAAGGAAGAGGUCACACCUUCCUCAUGCUUUGUAAUUGGCGCUGGUUCUAGAAACUUUUUAGGAGGGAAUUUUGAAUUUGUGUAGCUUGCAUUUUCAGCACCUUAGGCUAUAAAUAGAGGUGCUCCCUUUGUAAAAUUCAGAUNNNNNNNNNNNNNNNNNNNNNNNNNNNNNNNNNNNNNNNNNNNNNNNNNNNNNNNNNNNNNNNNNNNNNNNNNNNNNNNNNNNNNNNNNNNNNNNNNNNNUGAGUGAGCAUUGGAGAGCUUUUGAGCCUUCUUCUCUAGUCUUAUCUUGAAGGAUCCAUGGUGUCCUCAAGUGGCGGCAGCACACUCAUCUAGGAGCAACCAUCCUUCUAGUGGCGUGAUCAUCCAACCUUGCAUCCAUCUUCAUGAGCAUUCUUUUCUCCUUCCUUCCUUCUCUUUCAAUUGUUCAUGUUUAAGCUUGUUUCCUUGAAAUUCUGUCUUGUGUUCUUGAGUUUAUGGUUCGGUUGUUCUUAUUUUCCAGCAAUCAUUUUCAGUUCUUUGCCUUUUAAUUUCAUUUUGUUCGGUUCAAUUUGAUUCUUAUCCAAUUCUGUUCGGUGUUUUUAAGUUUUACCUCUUUUUGUUGGUUCAAUUUGACAAUAUGUGGAACUUCCAUGUGAGUUUGGAUUUGGUGCUAGUUUUGGUGAGUUCUUGACUUAGAAUAUUGAUCCAAUUCUAAGAAAAAGUGCCUAACAAUUGUCCAACUCAAGUUGAUUCCUAAGAAUGUCAAGAAUCGUUCUCUUCUUUGCUAUUGGAAUCACAUUAGUGGGGCAGGAAAAAUUAUUCCUGUGCCAGAAAAUCAAAAUAGAGGAAAAAAAAUGAGAGGAACCAGGAGAACAAUGGCAGAAGAGGAGCCAAUUGGGGUUUCCAACGAGGAGCCCCCGCCUGAAGCAACAUGUGUGCUGAUGGAGAUGAUGGAAACCAUGAGGAGGCAAAAUGAAGAGCGUGCAGAGGAAUUUAGAAGGGGGCAGGAAGAAACAAGGGUACGGAUGGAGGAAACGUUAAGAGGACAAGAGCGACUUCAAAGACGGAAUGAGGAGUUGCAGAGGCAGUUGGAAGAUCGGAGGACAAAAAGGUGGGAAUUGCAGGAAGUGGAGCCAGAUUUCACAUCAUUUUCAGGGGAAAUUCUGAAUGAACCAUUUCCAACAAGCUAUGUAUUUUCAAAUAUUAGUUCGUUCAUGGGAAAGCAGGACCUGAAUGCCCACAUUAAAAACUCCAAGGCACAAAUUUUGAUUCAUGGAGGAUCGGAUCUUGUCCGAUGCAAAAUGCUGGCAGGAUCGUUAAUAGGAACGACGUUGGAUUGGAUCAGCUCUUUGCCCGAGGGGUUGGUAACAUUGUUGGAGGUUUUUGUCUGAUUGUUUGUCGCUCAUUUUGCGGCAAAUAAAACAAAACCUUCGGACACAACAGAUCUCAUCCUUCUUCCGUGCAAUGCUAUUGGAUCCAUCAUGCUUGCUUCUCUCUAUUAUUAUUUUUUUUGGCAAUUUCUAAGCAUAAAUGUAGUAAAAUUAUUAAAUAUAAGGAAAGAAACAUUUAAAAGAAUAAAAUAGUUUUUAUUACCAUUAUCCUUUAAUUUAAACCGUAGUCAACAAAAGAAGCCUAAUUGUGUUGCCAUGAAGCGGGAAUGGGAUUCAAACACAGGUUCCUUCAAUGACAAAGGGAAAAUUUAACCACUACAACAGUCAACUUCAUUUGUAUUAUUAUGAUUUUUAUUAUACUAAUAAUACUAAUAAUAUUAAUAAUACUAAUAAUACUAAUAACAUUAAUAAUACUAAUAAUACUAAUAACAUUAAUAAUACUAAUAAUACUAAUAACAUUAAUAAUACUAAUAAUACUAAUAACAUUAAUAACACUAAUAAUACUAAUAACAUUAAUAACACUAAUAAUACUAAUAACAUUAAUAAUACUAAUAACAUUAAUAAUAUUACUAAUACUAAUAAUAUUAAUAAUAUUAAUAAUCUAUACCUAUAUAUAAAGGGGAUUCCCCUCUUAACUACCAUCUUAUUUUAUUUUAAUUUUAUCUCUAUCUUUAUAUCUUAUUAUUUUAUUUGUCAUUUUGUGAAGAGUUUAAAUUUUAUAUCUCAAAGAGUUUAAACAUUCUACAAUUGCAUCUUUUUUUUCAGUUCAUCUUCCACUUUUAUUCCAUCAAACUUUCUAUCAUCUUUUUCUCCUUUUCAUUAAACUUUCUAUCAUCUUUUUCUCCUUUUCAUUAAACUUUCUAUCAUCUUUUUCUCCUUUUCAUUAAACUUUUUAUCAUCUUUUUCUCCUGUUCAUCUUCCCUUUUAUCCCAUCAAACUUUCUAUCAUUUUUUUCUCUCGAUCAUCUUCACUUUUAUCCCAUCAAACUUUCUAUCAUCUUUUUCUCCCGAUCAUCUUCACUUUUAUCCCAUCAAACUUUCUGUUUUCAAAUUCAAAUUACCAGAAGUCGCAAGUUCCAUAACCACUUCCGUUCCAGAACCACGAAAUAGUGUUGUUUUUCAACUAUAAAGUAUAUAUUCUGAUUUUACUUUUAUUGAUUAUUCAUUUAUGAAUGUUUUUAGCAUUAUAUGAUGACAAUAUUAUAAUUAUUGUGCUCACACAAAUAAAUAGAACAAUUAAAAAAUUGAAAGAGAAAUUAAGUAUCUGAAAAAACUGAACCAAUGAAAGUAUUACUAUAUGAGAAAACAUAUAGGAAAUUUCCAUCCAAAGGAUAGUGAUUAAGAGGCAUUGCAGUGAUGGGUGAGUUGCAGGGAUUAUGGUUUUCUUAGGGGUUUAGUUUUUUAAAAAAUUAAGAAUUAAAUAUUCAAAAUUUUAAAUUUUAAAUUUUAAAUGGUAGUUAAGAGGAAAUCCCCUAUAUAUAAGUAAUUUAAAAUUUAAAAUUUAAAAUUUAAUAUUUAAAAUUCAAAAUUCACUAUUUUAAAUUUAAAAUGGUAGUUAAGAGGAGAUCCCAUAUAUAUAUAUGUUAUUUAAAAUUCAAAAUUCAAAAUUCACUGUUUUAAAUUUAAAAUGGUAGUUAAAAGUAGAUCCCUAUAUAUAUAGGUAAUUUAAUAUUUAAAAUUUAAAAUUUAUUAGUACAUAAAACGUAUACGAAAUUAAAUAUUAAAACUUAAAUAUUAAAAAUUCAAAAUUAAAUAUUAAAACAUUAAAAUUAAAAUUCAAAAUUUUAAAUUUUAAAUGGUAGUUAAGAGGAGAUCCCCUAUAUAGGUAAUUUAAAAUAUAAAAUUUAAAAUUUAAAAUGUUUUUUUAAAUAAUUUCAUAUUUUAUAUAUUUAUUUUUACAUUUUGCGAAUUAUUAUAUGAAGAUAUUUUUUAAUUAUAUUUUUUCAUUUAUAUAAACAAUAUUUAAUAUAUAGAUCAAAGUGUUUUUUAAAUAUUAUCAUAUUUUAUAUAUUUAUUUUCACAUUUUGUAAAAUAUUUUCUGAAAAUAUUUUUAAUUUAGCUAUCUAUUUUCUGUCACAUACUAAUCUUUUUUUCUUGCUGCUGUAUGUAUGUUUGCAUUGCAUUAGUGAUUCUUGGUUUGCAACAGUGUUUUUAUAAUUUGUUUUGCUUUUAGUUUUGAUUUAUAUUUUAGAAUUUUUUAAAUAAUUUUUCUAAUGUUUAUUAGUUUUCUACAUUUUAAUACAUUACACAACAAAAUCGAAAAUAUAAAUACCGAUGAAGAGUAGAACGACAAAACCAAACUUGAAGCUAAAUAUUGCAAACAUAAGACGAAGAAUGACCAUGGAACAAAUGACAAAUGAACUAUCUACACAAAGCAGAAGUUAUAGAGAAAGAAGAUUGAAAUCAAUUCGACAUUUGGCUCGAUCAAUCAAUAAUGCAGGUAACAAAAAUGUUAUAUAAACAUUUAACUUUUCAUAACUAUUAUUUUUAAUUUUUUUUAUAUAGUUUUAUUUAUUCCUUCAUUUAACUUGACAUUUGAAGAAUCAAACAAUAACAAGGCAGCACCAAGUAACACACUUUACUGAAUAAGGAUGAUUAAUUAUAAGGAUGAUCAAUCAUUCGCAUUGGUUAAGCCAAUUGACAUCAAGGUAUAAUGAUUUUACAUAAUGAUGAUGAUAAUGUCAUUUUUUAUUCAUAAUGUAUUAUAAAUUUAUAUUGUUAAUAUAAAUGUGUGAAAAAUAACAUUUUUCUUAUUUUAAUUUUAAUAUUAAAUAUAAAUACAAUAUAAAUGAACACAUAAAAAAUGCGGAUACACAGGCGCGAGAGCGCCUGUGUGUCCGCUAGUAUUAAUAAUAUUAAUAAUAUAAUAAUAUAAAAUAUAAUAUUAAUAAUAUGAAUAUAAUAUUAACAAUAUUAUUAAUAACAUAAUAAUAUAAAAUAUAAUAUUAAUAAUAUGAAUAUAAUAUUAACAAUAUUAUGAAUAAUGUUAAUAAAAUGAAUAUAAUAUUAAGAAUAUAAAUAUUGAAUAUAAUAUUAAUAAUAUGAAUAUAAUUUAUAUUAUUAUUAUUAUAAAUUGUAUAAAUUAUAUUAAUAAUAAUAAGUAUAAAUUAUAUUAAUAAUAAUAUGUAUAAAUUGUAUUAAUAAUAAUAUGUAUAAAUUGUAUUAAUAAUAAUAAGUAUAAUAAAAAUGGUAAUAUGACCAAAGAACUUGUAUGGUUUAGUGGUUGAAGUUUCUUUGGUUCAAUUCCUAACUACUGCAAUUUGCUUCAAGUAUUAAUUUGGGACUUAGGUUCGAGUGAGUCUGGGGAAAAGUGUACUGGUAAGGGUCGAAUGGUCAAUACCGUGUGGGCCGACCGACACCAUCGAUCCAAUUAUACUCAAUCAAGGUUAGUUACAUUAAUAUAUAUAUAUAUAUAUAAGAAAAUUGUAGAAGAUUUAUGAGAUGUUGGAAUUGUCUAAAUGAAAAAUUCCUUAUACAAGAUAUUGAAACCCAUCAAAUAACUUAAUUUUUUAAGAAAGCCAUAAGAAAAUCAAGGAACUAGAAAAAAAUUUGUGAAAAAACAUGAUAUAGGCAAUGAGAUGCUAAAAGUUAAUAAGCAUCUAAAAAAUCUAGAAGAAAUAAUUAAUAAACAAUCAUUAUAUUUUUUUUAGGAAAUUUGGACAUUUUUUUGAAAGGAUUACUCAAAAUAGGUUACUCAAAUUGGUUCAAAAAGAAAAAAGAAAGGUAAACUUGAUAGUUAUAUAUAUGUUUCGAAUCAAAUUUAAUCAAAUAAGUAAUGAAUUGAUCCUAAUUUUCCAACUCAUGUUUCUAAUACAAGGAGGGAUUAUUCCGUAUUUAAAUCAUAAGUUUAAAUAAAAAAAAUCUCUUCAACAUUUGUGGACUGAUCUUAUCUUUUGCAUAUUUCAAUUAUUUAAUUAAUAUGAAAGUGCAUAUAGCAUAAUAUAUUACAUACCAUGAGCUUGUUCUGUUACUUCAAAAUGCAUAAAACACAUAAACAAGAAAUAAAGCAGAGGAAGUAGGGGCACAAAGCAUAGCAUAUGUUGUGGUCUACUUGAAGAACUCCAUAACCCAGAAAUUAUUCACAUGACAUUCAUAUUUGAUGCCACUAAAUCCAGCUUCUCUUGCCAAUUUCAUGAACUCUUCUUCAGAUCGUUCUUUACCUCCUGGGUUCUGAGUCAUCAUCAAAACAUCCAUUUGUGAAAUUGCCUUAUAAGCAUUAUUAUUCUCUGGUAUCUUUGGAAGAAUUGCCUCCACAACUAUCACCUUUCCAUCAUCAGGAAUUGCAUCAUAGCAAUUCUUCAACAGUUUCACACAAUGUUCAUCACUCCAAUCAUGAAGUAUCCACUGUACAAUUGCUUAAUGUCAAAGCUCAUUCAAUAAAGUUGAUAUAACUCAUGCAUCAGUUUAAAUUAAACUCUUUUUUCAACCAACGGUUAUUACAAUAUAUAUAAUUAAAAAAUAAAAAAAGUUAUAAUUAAAAUUAAAAAAAUUAAUGAUUAAAAUAUCUAUUCAUAUUCAAGAUAAGGAACAUGUUCAUAAUUUGUAUUAAUUAUAUAAAAUAUCAAAUAAAAAAGGUGUUUGAUAAAAGGAGAGAUUUCUCUCCUCUUUAAAAUUAAAUACUACUAUAUUUCCCCAGCAACCAUCAUUAUGAAUUGACCAAAACUUUCUUACCUUCAUAAAUAAGGCGUCUCCUUUAGGCACAUUUUCAAACAUAUCUCCCCCAACAUGUUCUACUCCUGCAAAACUCAACCUCUUUAACACUGCACACCUCAUAGCUUCAUAACAUAUAUUAGUAACAUGUUCUAUUUAUGUUAUUGUCUUGUAAAACUCUAAAUUUACCAAAUAAGUCUUCAAAAGACAAAAAGAACAUCGUUUUUUUUAAUUUUGCAGAACCACAGGAUUGGAAUGUGUAAGGAUGAUACCAGGAUAGGAAGGAGCAUCUUGAAUGACAUGAGGCAAGUCAAAAUUGAUGCCAUGGAUAUGAGGGUAUUUGGAAGUGAUCAAGUUAAUAUUGACUCCAAGACCACCAGCAACAUCUACCAGUCUUUUUAUGCCCUCAAAACCUUUGUAGGAUUGCAGAAUCUUCUUCAUCACCAAAGUGGUGUGAUUCAUCAUUGCUGUGUUGAAAACUUUAUUGAAUCUUGAGUCCAAACGUGGAUAGUCAAAAGCAUGAGUGCCAUAAACCCUGUUGAAUGGAACACCCCCCUCCCUAAUUGCAUUUUUCAGCUCACUCCUAAUAAUGUAUAAAGAAACUUAUUUCAGUUCAUAGCCUGAAAGUUCUGCACAGUUCAUAAAUCCUCUACGAAACAUUUACUUCCAAUGACAUAAUUUAAAACAUACCAAUAUGUUUGUGAUGGAAAGGUAGAUAAAAUGAUUAUAAUAGUUGGGAGAGAGAGAGAGAGAGAGAGAGAGUUUAACCAGCUUUGUAGGAAGAUUUUGUCUUGGCAUAAGGCCAUCAAGGGUCCCAAGGAAACUCCAUCAGAAUUGGGAGCAAAGAAUGCGGCCACGGGAGUGAUGGUGUAGAGGCGGUGAAAGGAGGGAGGAACACGGUGGUCGGAAAUGAGAGAAGAGUGAAGAAUGGAGUGAGAAGAAAGAAGUGCGAGGAGACGAUGUAGCAUUGAGGCUGCUUGUGG
This 60135-nucleotide long non-coding RNA is filed under the name Phaseolus vulgaris (common bean). RNAcentral's name for it is "long non-coding RNA (PVUL_LNC001351)". Lineage: Eukaryota; Viridiplantae; Streptophyta; Magnoliopsida; Fabales; Fabaceae. The record is from RNAcentral.